UUUUUUUCUUGUAAUUAUAUUCGAGUUGUUGGAUUCAAUCCAAAUGGACAGGCCUUAAGAUUAUAUAGUCCUUUGGUCAUAUGUUCGAAUCUACAGAUUUUGACCUUAGAUUUGCCAAUGUAGCGUGCAGCAUGCAUUAUAUUACAACCAUCCCAUCGUAUUCAUGUAUCAAUGCGUAAGUGAUCAUAUAAUAGUUGUAUUUCAGGUUAUGCAGACUGAUGAUAUGGAGGGAGUUAGCUUUAUAGCUUAUCAACUCAAAGAUGUUUCUUAUCAGUGGUACAAGGAGUGGGAAAGAGAUAAGGGUAAUAUGGGAGAGGAAGGGUUGUAGGAGGCUUUUUCUAUAGUGUAGUUCAAAAUCAAACACCAAAUCCAUCCAUUACAAAUCCAAAUUAGUUUACAAACUUUUUUUCCAGCAAUUACAACGAAAAAAUUGACCAAAAUUUAAUAGCUUAACUUACUCAAUGACUAGGUCUAUUUCUAACCAAGCACCACUUCUAUCUCCUUUAUUACAGGAAACACCAUGCCUCUACUACCUCUACCUCCUCUACUACCUUUACUGCCUCUACCUCCUCUACUGCCUCUACCGCCUCUACUUCUACUGCCCCUAUUAUUACUCUCAUCAUCUCUAUUUUCACUGGCAUUAUUAAUAUUUUCAUAAAUUCUGCCCCCUCUUCCACCACCGUAUCUACCUCUACUACCUUUACUUCCACCGCCCCUAUUAUCACUCUCAUUAUCUCUAUUUUUACCACCAUCAUCAAUAUUUUCAUAACUUCAAUCCCCUCUUCCACCACUGUGUCUAUUUGGGAAAUUCUCACAUCCACUUCUAUUCUUGUUCAUUAAUUACCUUCCAUGAGUACAAACUUUCCUAGGAUUUUUUAUGAAUGUCACAUGAUCAUCAUCAUCUAGGUUAUCUCCCCCAAUAUCUGGGACAACAAUGUUAUCAUCCCAAUCUAAAUAUGCAUUCAAACAUGCCAUCAAAAUAUUUUUAGAGUCCCGACUCUUAAUAUCAUCGUCCAAAGCAACAUCACAAAUUCUUUUGAACCAUUUCUUCAACAUAUUGUAUUUUUGUACUCAAAUGACAUUGUUGGGCAGACUUCGAGAAAGAAUUUCUUCAAGUGUGGGCGGAUUAUAUCUCUUCUCCACUGUCAUAAUAUAUAUCUAUUGGAGACCAUAUCAAUCUUCUUGUGUGCCAAGAUUGAUAUAACAUGGUAGAAAAAAAAUACAAAAUUUAGAAAGUACCUACAAUUACAAUCAAAAUAUUGAGUGUUUGGCCUAUACUACAUCAUGAACACAAAUGGUUUGCCAUGAAAGUCUGUACGUAUUGAAAAUAUGUUAUGUUGUACUUCUCAAGACCCUCUACAACUUCAACACUCUCAGUAACGUGGAUUUCACUAUGGUAAAGCCAUUCCAUUUUGAUCCUUAACUGAUCAUAAAUUGUCCCAAAGUAAUGUUUUAGAAGUUGUAACUCCCAACGAUAUCUAAACAUAGGUCUUACAUAUAUGUUUCUAGAGGAGUGUUCAGUUUCUAAUUCUUUCUCAUAUUUUUCUCUCAUGGAUACCUCAUAUUUCUCCACAAACUUCUUUAGGAUAAAUCAUUUAUAUAUCGAUUAAAGAAAAAAUGCAUUGACUCAUACCUUUGUGUGGAUAUAAUGCCAGCCCAAAAGUAGUGCUUUAGAAAUACAAGAACCUAUUUCUCCUUUUCCAACAUCAACUUAGAAAACUAACUCCUUGAACCUAUGUUAUAUUUUUUAAUGAAUUCAAUCUAUUUACGCUCAAAUUCUUUGAUAGUAAUACUAUCAAAGAUAAUAGAUUUGAAUUCACUCUUGGAAACUUUAACAUUUCGCACACCCAUAAGCCUAGCAAGAAGCUUUGUGAGGAUGUGCCAAAUGCAAUACUUGUGGACUAUGUUUGGCAUCACUUUUCUAAUGGUUUCCUUGAUAAUCUCACAUUGGUAGAUGAGGAUAGAAGUUGGUGCAUUAUUGUCCAUGGCCUGAAGCCAUGUUGAAAAUACAAAGUUAUAGGUUUGAAUGUCCUCGCUUGUGAUCAAGGCACAACAAAAAGUAUGGACUGCAUAUGCUGAUUCACAACAAUGAAAGACCAUUGAUUAACAAAGUACGUUGUAUCAAAACAUAUAAUGUCAAAAAAUUAUGAUAUGCAGCCUUGCAAUAUGUAUGAAAUCAUACUAUAUUAUGAAGUCUACCAACAUGGUCUCUGUCUACAGGAUAGAAAAAUUUCUCUAUCCUUCGACUGCAUAUCACAAAAGAAUCUCUUUAUUUCUUUAGCAUCACUGGACAAGGUUCUUAUCCUCAUUUGAUGAAGAAUGUAAUUUCUAUAGCCAGACCACCAGAUUUUACUUUCAAGAGUCAUAUGCUCUUUGAAGGUCUUAAUCCUGCAAUGUCAUGAGCUAAAAGAUUUCUCUUCUCAGUCCUACUUAACUGUAUAUUGCAAGCCAUAAAUUGUGAAAAUAAAAAAUUCAUUUCAUGAUUUUGCACUGCAACGACUUUAGAAAUAAUCCAUGAACCAUUACUCAUAAAGAAUAGUUUAUUUUUGCCAGGCAGUCAACUCUUUUUCUUUGAUUUCUUGCCUUUUAUUUUCUACUCUUAUCACAAGCAUAGGUCACAUACCUCACGAAAGCAACACCCUUUUUUGAUAUUUUUUACACGACAUGAAAAUCCUUUAAUCCAUCAUGUUCAUUGUAGAAUACAAACACAGAUACAAGACUUACAAAAAUCAUACCUUCAAUAGGAUUUUGUACGUAUUGUUCAUUCUUAAAGGUCUUCUUAUACAUUUAUUCUUCGUCUUCUUUGACCCGUUGACCCUUAAAUUCAUAUUCUUAUAGAUUUGAAAUAUUAACAACUUCAUCUUCCUCCAUUUGAUAAGGCAUAUUUAGCUCCUCACCAACUUUGGCAAGUAAGUUUGUAAAACGACCAUUAUCACUUAAAAAAAAAUUUGGUGCAACGUCAUAACCACCAUCUGAAACUUCAUCAUAUUAAUUAUUAUUUUAGACCAAACUAUCAGUAUCACCAAUUCCAAAAAGUUCAUCCAAGGUUUUGUUUAAUCAAAUACUAAGAAUUCUUGAAUCCGCUUUCUCAAAAAGAUAAUAGGAAGACUUAAAAUAGGGAGACAAGAAAGAAAGAACAAUAGAAGAGAAUUAAAUUAGUAAAACAUAAGAAAUGAAGAUCAUAAAAAAAUAGAAAAAGAGAAGAAAUAAAGAUGAACAGAAAUCUAUAAGAGAGAAGAAAUUAAAGUAAUAAAGAUGAACGAAGAAUCAAUAUAGGUAAAAUAUAUAAGAGAGAAUAAAUAAAGAUGAGCAGCUUGGGGUUUUGAAAUACACGAAGUGUAAGCAGCUCAAGCCUAGAUCUAGUUGGACGAAACUAACUAGGUAAUUUUAUUUUGGUGAGAAGNNNNNNNNNNNNNNNNNNNNNNNNNNNNNNNNNNNNNNNNNNNGUGGGUGGGUGGGACGAGAGAAAGCAAUUCAAGAUCCAAAGGGAAUUAUGGACUUUACAUUUAGGUUGUGUCAAAUUGUGUCAAAAGAGGUUAUGCCCUCUAGCACUACCUUUGAAAUAAUCGAGAUACAAUGACAUUUGAAAAAAGCAUCAUAGGUUAAAUCUCCUCAUUUUGAGGACAUAGAGAAUUUGCUCAUUAAAUAAUUUAAAGAGAUUUUUCGGAAUAAAAACACAAUUUUAUUGACUACAAAUUCCAAAUAACUCCUCAAAGUAACAAUUGGACAAGUUCAAUCCGAUGAAAAACAUUUUGUGGCACAUUUGACUAGUUUUCUCAAUAAAAUUUCAAAUUUCUAUCCCUUAUUCAUUCACUCCAUUUUGUUCCUUAACUUAUAGACAUUAACAAAGUUUUUAACAUGUAAGUAUAAAGGGUGAGUAUAAGAUGAAAGUAACUUCAUAUUAGGAAGAAGAGAUAAGUGGCACUAGCUUCAUGUAAAAGCACUUGGUCAUAUCAAAGUGAACUUUGUAUUAGGCAGAUUUAUACUAUUGUUUAUAUUUCUUUGUUUUCCUAAUGCUCUUCUUAAUAUAUAUCUCUUAAUAAACUAUUUAUUGUCUUACUCAAGUAAAGUAUAUAAGGUUCAGUGGAAUGGAGACAAGUCAAAAAACAUGUUCAGUGCAUAUGAGAUUGAAAGAAUAUAUUACUCUCUAAAAUAGUGAACCACCUUUGAUUCUUUCCCCAUAAUAUUAUGAGAAAUUCUAAUGAGAACAUUUGAGGUAAUAACUUUUUCUUGUAGCAACUCCUAGAUGUUUUCAUGCCUUGAUUUAUUAUCUUGUAGUUCCUUGCUCAUGCUCAUGUCUCUAGGGUCCCAAUCUUGGUAUAAUUUAGUUUAAUUAUUGAUGGUAAGUAAAGCUUUAGAUAGACAAAAGGAAACAUUGAUAAUUCAUAUUUUCGCUCUAGCUUUAGUCUUUAUUCAAGGAUGAAUGAUUUCAAUGGAAAGAUAUUGUAACAUCCCGAAUGUCUGAACUAAGAACUAAGUCAUUAUUCAAAUGUGUAUAAACCUGAACCUUAUGAUUUCUAAUGGUGUAUAGGUGUUAAUACAAGUUCCUUAGUGUGUAAAGAUCUUUAGAUAUGAAUUAAGGUCAUAAGAAACUUCUAAUACAAAGUAAAGUUAAAAGCUUCCUUACCCAUUAAGUUUCCAUAUAAGAUUUUACUAGGGUCAACUUCAAAUGAGCAUAACUCAUAGAAUAUGAAGAUUUUUGUAGCUCAGAACCCACCAAAUUAAAGUUCUUCAAGGUUUUCUUUCCAAUGUCACCAAUCGUUUACUAAUCCAAUCUCGACGUCAUAAGUUAUGAUCGUUUUACUACAACGUGCCAAUGCAGAGAAAAGUUUGGUGAAUCAUCAGAUAGUUUAGUGUAUCUCACCAAACUCACUCAAAAACAUUUAAAUUCAUUUUAACUAUCUAAGUUUGCACUUUCACAAAUCGCUUGAUAGUUUGGUAAGCUCACCUCUAAAUCGCCAAAAUGUUCGACGAGAUUCAUUAAAAGGUCAUUUUUCGACUUUUCCCAAUUUCUUUCUAUUUUCUAUCAUCCCCAAAUUGGUAUUUUCUCCUCUCCCUAUCGUCCAACCCUAAGGUAAGUUACUCAAAUGCAAUUCUAAGAAAUUGCUAUUUUUCCAAUCAUUCUUUUUUAGAAUUAUUAAAUCCUACACCAUAACCUAGGAUUUUGAAGAAAACUUAAUCAAGAUUUCUAGAACUAAAUUCUUAGAGAUCCUUCCACAUAUUAGGAUUCCUCUUUGACUUCUUUAAAAGUAAUUAAAUUAUGUGGAACUUCAAUGAGGUUUUCCUUACAUUCCCACGUCCAAAAUUUUUUGUUUUUCAUGAACUAAGGUUAGGGUUUAUAAACCCAUUCUUAAACUAGUCUUUUAAUGAAGCAUACUACAUCAUUUCUUGAUAUUUUAGAUACGGGUAUUAGUUUUAUACAUACUGCAGUUAUAUUUGUUUAACUUUAAUUCUUGAUACGAUUCUCAAAUAUUAUUUUCAGGGAAAAUAUGCAUUUGAAUUAUGAUUUUAGAAUUUUAAUGACAUGAUGAACUUUCAAGAAACUUGAAUAAACUCAAAGAAGGGGAAAUUCCAUGAUAUCUAUGAAAUACAAUUUUUUGAAAAAAUUCAAGUUUUAUCUAUAUCCAUAAUCUAUAAUCUGUAAUCUAGAUCUAUAUGUAUAAUCUAUUGUAAGGGAUUGAUUUUAUAAUUUUUCUAUUUUUAUGUGUUUUGACUAUUUUACCCAUUUUCAUACAGUUACGUAAUAUUUCUGGGGUGUGGGGAUUUUAUGAUGCUAUUUGUGUGAGUUUAUGAUUUUUGGAGGUUAAAAAGUUUUAUAAUUAACUUCGGUCAGCAUUUAUUAUAUUGUGUGUCGAAUGUCAAAAUAGACUAAUCAGAAAUGUUGAUUUUGGAUUGGUAGUGUGGUUGGUUCAAUUUUUUGACUCUUAUAUCUCAUUUUGACCCUCAAUUAGGAAAGGUCUUGAGGGUAAAUUCUACGAAAAUAACCUCUUUUCAAAAAUCCGACGGUGCCAUUGAGUCUAAAACAUCGAAUUUGAUAGGAUAGCAUAAUUCAUUUUCAUUCAAGGGAUUUUGGAUGAAUCUUGAAGGAUCAGUGGAGAUGAAAUUUUUCAAGUCCCCAGUUGGUGCACCAAUCAGUUAGUGCAUUCGCUUAAGCGCCACUUGAGUUACUUAAGCGAAGCCCGUAAAUAUGCCUAGUUAGUCGCUUAAGCGACCAGGCUACCAGCUAGUGGGUCAUAUAAGCAAGGUCUCCUUUGCUAAAGAGAGUACAACUUAAGCAGAUAGUGGGUUGAUUAUGCGAUAUGUUCAUGCACAACGUGUACCAAAAAAUUUGUACUUGGCAGGGAAGCGGUGACCGCUUAAGCGGCCCACUGUCUGCUUAAGUGGCACCUGGGUGACAUUAAAUGCCCUUUUGGCCUGAUUUUCUCUAUUUUUGAGAUUUUGAUCUUCAAGUUUUGGAGUUUUGGGGAAAUUUCUUUCAUUUUCAAACUUGGUUAACAUUCAAAUCACUAUUUCAAUUAUUUUACUUAAACUCGUCAUCUAAAACCCGCUAAAUUGUAUUUUUAAAAGUGAAAUUUGGGGAUUUUGGAUUGAAAGGGCUAAAAUUCUUUUUCUUCAAUUUAAGCCUCGUAUUUAGCCCAUUUUACUUAGGUUUUAUUCUAUGAAUUUCUUAAAUCAUGGGUAAUAUGUUUACGAACAAAAAUUCUUGUUUUACCCUUUCUUUUCAAAAUUUCAUUCCGAGGGUCCAUUUUGACCCCAAUUCAAAAAUAGAAAAAAUGAGUAUUGUUGGCUUUUUUUAUGCAUAGAUUCUAUAUUUGUGUGUUUUACUUUAUUUUGAGGCCGGAUGAAAGGGGUAGGCUCCGUGUUGAAGGGCUUUGGACUGGUAUUUCAUUAUUUGAGGUAGGUUAUGACUUAACUUUCUUCAAAAUUGGGUUGGGUAGUUAAUGUUUGUAUAAAAACAUGCUAUGAGUAUGGGUAAUAAUCAUGAAAAAUAAUGUUAUUACUGUUGUAUGCUCGUGUUGGACUUAUAUUGUUAUUAUUAGUAAUUUGAGGUGAUAUUUGAUAUAUGUGACCCGUAAGGGGGUCUUAUCUAACAUUAUUGGCCUUAUGUAUACCUUUGGUUAUUUUCUUCAUGAUAGAAAAUGCCUAAGUUAGGGUUAAUGUGAUAUAUAUGAUAUCUUAUUAGCAUAUUUCACUCUAAUGGUACAUGGCUUAUAUUGAAUCAUGGAUGAUUGACAUAUUUAGUGGAUUUUUAGCUCAAGUGUGUGUGUACUGGCUGGGUUUGAGAUCUUCAUACUGGUGUUGUGAGUAGUACAUCCUUAUAUCAUACAUACAUUCAGGAGAUAUUGGUUCCAUUGUGGAGAUACUUAAUUUUUUGACAUAAAUGAAAAACUUUUACAAAACCCUCUACUAUAGUCCAUUAGUCAUAAAGGAAAUAUGGGUAUUGAGAUUGGAAUUGAGUAUAGAGAUUGUAUAUGGGUUGUGAAUCCCCCAUGGGUCAUACCUAAAAGCAUUAAUUCUCGAUAGGUGUAUGCGGAGGUUAUGUAAUAACCUCGAUCAUAUCACAUCAUUAUUCAUCAUCACUUUUAUUGUAUUUCAUUCAUUUAUACAUCUUCAGUGUUGGGCUUCUGGAUUUUUAUCUGAUGCAUGCCUUUUUUAUUUCUUUUACAUAUCUAUUUUCCUAUUUGUGUGCUAUAUAUAGAACUGUUAGUAAAGAUGGUGUGAGCUACCAUUUUGGGACUUUCUUUAUUUGUAGGAGAUGUGCUUAUAGUGUGUAUGUAUAUUGUUUAUUUUCUACUUUUCUCAGUUGGAUACCUACGGAGAACAAGUGGAAUAUACUCAUCUCUGUUGUAUUAUUUUGGUGCAGAAAUCGGUAUGAGUGUGCCUCACGAUUGCUAAUUUUAGGCGGUGAUUUGAUACAUUUGAGGUAGUGGCCACUCUAUGCUUCUAGAGCUGACAUCCUACACCACCAUAUCUAGUUUAUGUCCUAUUUUGUAUUCAGAGAUCGAAUUGUGUUUCAUUUUUAAUUAUCAAUUGUAUUUUUAGACUUUAAGUUGUAUGUAAAUUGUUCUUACACUAUGACACCAGGUUUUAGGAUGAUUUAUGGUAUGAUUGUGAUUUUAACUUUCGCUAUCUUUAUGCACGUAUGGUUUAAUUUCAAUCUAGAAGUCUUGCCUUGGGAUUUGUGUUGUAAUUUUCAUUUACAUAUUAGUUUGGGUGAUUGACCUACUUACUAAGUCUUAGCUGUGAUAAGUGCAAUCAUGACCUGAGUUUUUGGGUCGUGGCAAAUUGGUAUCAGAGUAGCCAAGUUCGUCGGUCUCAUCAGUUUAAGAAUAAAGUGUCUAGUAGAGUCUCUCCAAUUGAUAUGUAGAUAUUUUUAUCUAUCUUUGAGAGGCUAUAAGAUAUAUUUAGGAAACUUCCCUUAUUUUGUUCCUUAUCAUGUGGGUUUUUCCAUACCUUAUAUUCUAAAUUGAGUUUCACUCUUCUCUAUGCAACUGAUGGAUAAGAUUUAGUGAGACUAUAGAUGCAAAACUAACACCCAAAGAGAGAGCCCAGCCUAGGGGAAGAUUCAAUGGUCGUGGAUGGUCUUGAGGUAGAGAAAGGGGAUGAGAGUUUGCAUCUUUGAGAGCUAGUACUAGGGGGAUCUCCCCUGAGCCCAAGGUUGAGCAUACUAGAGAUAUGGGUCCUACUUAGGUUCCACAAAGUUCUUCCAACCCAUAUUAAAGGGUUUUUUUAAUUCAUUUGCUGACUCAUUUGUAGGGUGUUCCUUUGAGGCAUACCUGGUAUUCCUCCAGCUCCGAGUGUUGUACCUCCAUCUGUGCCAAAGUUUGCUACUAGUGUUCCUCCAAUCUGAGUAUAAUUCCUUCAUCGAUACCGAUAUUUACUCAUUGUAUUAUGUAGGCUCUAAGUACUAUUCCUUUUUUGGUAUCAGUAUUCGAGCAUGGUAUAAUAAGCCUGGGGUUCACCCUUCACAUAUGUUACUCCCUUAGGUGGGAUCACAGCCGGCCAGAUUCACUAUGCUUCCUAUUUUUAUGUGUACAAUUAUGUAUUCUGAGGAUUAGAAAAGGUUUGAUAGAUUUACUCUCUUGGUUCCCUCAAGUUUAGUGGUGUUGUGGGCUAGGAUGCCUGUGAGUUCUUAAUUGAUUGCUAGAAAAAGUUGUAUAAUCUUGGCUUGAGUUGCAUGGGGUUGCUUAUGCUACCUACCAAUUGAGAGAUACAGUUAGGGAUUGGUUGAGGUCACUUGUUAGUUGUGGACCCCUUGGUUCACCAAAGAUGACUUGAGAUCAGUUUACUAAGGCUUUUUAGGACAGUUUUAUGCCAUACAGUCUGAGGGGUUAGAUGAAAGACGGGUUUGAUCAUUUUAAGUAGGGCUUCAUGACUAUUGCCGAGUAUGAGGCAUGUUUUCAUGCCUUCUCCAUAUAUUUUAUUUCUAGUAUUACAACGAGUCUGAAAAGAUUCAAAAGUUUUAUAAGGGAUUGAAUGCUUAACUUCAGAUGGCUACUACCUAGAAGGUAGUGUCAAGGGCAUUGUUUUAGAGUAUCUUGGGUCAUGCAAAGAUGAUCGAUUCUAUCCUUAGAGUUUCUAAGGGAGGUGAUAGAGGUUGAUCCAUCAAGGUGAGUUCAUUGGCCACACCCCUCGAGGUAGAUAUUUAAAAGGUUCCUAUGGGUACUUUGGUGAACUACUUUCCCAAAAAUCAAGCUAGCGUUGACUAUCCUUAGCCAGAUACGAGCCUCUCUAUUUAGAAAAACAUAUGGGAAGGUAUUGUGGUUUCCUUUGUCCUUGUAAUGGAACCACCGCGCCAUAGAGCUCUAUAGAAAGGCCUGCUGUAUAAUUCCUUUAACCUAGAAUGAUCCACAUUCAGAGUACCCAAGAAAGAGUUAAAAAACGUGGCCGUCAGAUAUAGGAUUUGCCCUCGAAUCUUAACUUCAUUCCUGCGGAUAUUUGGGGACCAAUUAGCAUAAAAAUCCCUAGUCCAAUCUAGAUUACAUUCACCCAUGUCUUCGAAAAUAAAGUCAAGUUUUAGUUCUGUGAUCCAAGCCAGAAUAUGAGGGCAGUGCCUCGCCAAACUCUCCCUUUGAAUAAGCUCUAGUGGUACGUAUCUAUUUACUUUGUUAUCCUUGUACCACUCCUGGCCAUCCUCUAAGACCCAUUUAAUACCAAAAGUGCUUUGAGGCCCUGGAAGAGAGAAUGAGAUGGGUUUCUCCUUUCAUGCUCGUUUCUAUCCCUUUUAAGAUAUGGAUGCUUUGUCUUGGCCAUUGCUUUCUUUGGGAGCCAUAUCACCUGAGUGCAUCAUAUAAUCAUAUUAGCCACACUUAAUCAAAACUUACUACAAUUAAGAAGAGGGUGGUGAAAUCACCACCCCACACUUAAUUUGUUAAGAUAAACCAAUUAAGUGGUAAUGUCAGGUACUCAGACUUUGCCGACAUACACUUUGACCUUGGGUGCCAACAUUAUUAGCACAUUUUCAACUCACAUGGUGAUUUUUCUUUUUCUUUUGCAAGUCACAAUUUCACUCCAUAAACCUUCACAUUCCACAACUAUAUGGCAAUUCAAAUUAACACACAAUUGGUGCACUAAAUCAAUUUCUAUUAACACCACCAAUUACACCAAUUUUACUUCAAUAAAGUAAUUAUUGAACAAAAUUAUCCUUUACAACUUCAACAUAUCACAAUACCCAAACAUCAUCACCCUCCCACACUUUUUAUCAACAUCAUGUUCAAUAAAAUAAGACAUGCAAUAGUGGUUACAUAACUACCAUGUUCGUUGUGAACAAUUCAUUCACAUGUACAAGCACAAAAUACUACAAAAUAAUGCCUUAAAUCUUCUACACCUAAAUACCCACAAGACACCAUGACUUAGACAAAACAACCAACAACAUAUUCGGAGGUAAAAUUAAGAUCCACAAUAAUGAUGGUUUCCACAAUAAUGGUGUUCAUCAUCCCCAAGAAUUUCAAAACUACUUUUACAAAGCUAUGGCAAGAAUUUAAUCUAUAAUCCUCAAGAAAUCAAUUAACUAUACAUAAAUUCACAAUAACUAAGGAUUAAAAAAGUAAAACUUACCUUUGAAGAUGGAAGAUUUGGAAAAUAAGGGGAAAAUUCUUGAGAUUGUUAAGCAAAGAGUAAUCUUAAAGGACAAAGAAAAUGGUGAGAGAGAAAUUUUGUAUGGCUUAAGGGUGAAAUAAGGAUGAAUUUGGGCAUUUAAGGUGUGGAGUCUAUUUAAAGAAUGAAAUCUGGGUCGGGUUGACCCAAGUUAAAAUCAGAUACUAUGUUGAAAUUUGAGUGGUGUGCAACACAUAUGUUAUCGUAAAGUCCUAAGUGUGCGUCGCACAUGGAAUCGCCUAACCAAAAUAGUGUGCAUGUGCGGUAUAGUUAGCGUCACACAUGGUAUCACACAAGGGUAAGUAUACAGCACAUACGGCAUCGCCUAACCCAAACAGUGAGAAUGUGCAGUAUGGUUGGCGUCGCACAUGUUAUCGCAUAAGUUUAACUAUGCGGCGUACAACCUAUCGCUUACAUUAACUUAGGUGUCGUAUAAAUAGUCACCAACUUGAACCAGUGAGGGUGUGCGGCUGGGUAAACGAGAUACAAGCAAUCGCCUAAAUAAAGUGUGCGGCGCACAUCCUGCCGCUCAAGUUAAGUUAGGUGUCACACAAGGCAACGCCUAUGCGAGGCAGUGGGCUUAAGCUAAGUAUUAGGUGACGCCUUUGCCAUGGCCUAUGUAAAUUUAGGAGUCACACACCCUAUAGUACACUUAAACUUAGACACCAUUCACCCCAUUCUCCAUAUGAGGCAUAAUUUGAGUCACAACUCUCACACGAAUAGUGAAUAGAGCCUUAACAUUUUGACCACUCCAACUUACCAGCAAUGUUCCCGUUACUCCAAAAUUUACCACCUUUAAUAUGGCUCACUUUCAAAUAGAAUUUAGAACCUAUCAACUCUUUAGAGCUUCAAACACCUACACUUAGUCAAAAAUAAUUAAAAAUGAUUAGAAGGGUGGGUUGCCUCCCACCAAGAGCCAUAGUUUCAGUAAUGGCUUGACUCUUAUUUUCUUGUAUUUUUGUUUUACAUAUAAAAAUCAAAGUAUAAUCAUGGGUUGCCUCCCAUGUAGCACCUGAUUUAUUAUUGCGGCACGACUCAGUUAUCUUGAUUACUCAGACUUCAUCGAGAUAGAUAGUAGCAAUACUUUUUAUUAUGUCUUUUGGACCGAUAUAAAGUUUGACUUGUUGCCCAUUAACUUUGAAGACGAUUCUAUCUUCAUUUUCAAGUUUGACUACUCCAGAUGAGUAGACUUGACUCACUUUAAAUGGGCCUGACCACUUGGAAUUAAGUUUACCUAGGAACAAUUUGAGUCUGGAGUUGAACAGAAGCACCAAGUCACCUUUCUGGAAAUCUCAUUCUUCAAUCCUCCGAUCAUGAUACUUCUUCAUCUUCUCCUUGUAUAGGUCUUCCCUUUCAUAAGCCCCAAGAUGGAAUACGUCCAUCUCAUUCAGUUAUGCCAGUCUUAGCUUCACUGCCUCCUUCCAAUUCAGAUUUAAUCUUUUGAGUGCCCAUAAAGCCUUAUGCUCCAGCUCUAUCAGUAAGUGACAUGCUUUACCAUAGACUAACUAAUAUGGUGACAUGCCAAUGGGUUUCUUGAAAGCAGUACGAUACGUCCAUAAGGAUCCUCGAGAUUUCAAGACCAAUCUUGCCUACUAGCAUUCACCGUUUUGCCUAGGAUGGAUUUAAUCUCCUGAUUCGAAACCUCCACUUGCCCACUAGUUUGUGGGUGAUAUGGAGUUUAUACUCUAUGCUGUUUCACCCCAUAUUUCACAAAGGCAGCUCGAAACACUUUGUUGCAAAAAUGAGAUCCUCCAUCUCUUAUAAUAGUACAUGGUACUCCAAAGCGAGAGAAGAUGUUCUUUUUGAGAAACACAACAACUCUCUUUCCUUCAUUAUCAGCCAAGGAAAUGGAUUUAACCCAUUCAAUACAUAAUCAUAAGAAACUAGAAUGUAUUUCAUUCCAUAGGAGCUUACAAAAGGGCCCAUAAAAUCGAUGCCCCAGACAUCAAAUAGUUCUACUUCCAGCAUCUUCAUGAAAGGUAUGUCACACCGCUUAGAGAUUGACCCCUUCCUCUGACAUUGGUCACAACUUAGAAUGAACUCAUGAGCAUCCUUGAAUAAAUUUGGCCAAUAAUAGACACUCUGCAACAUCUUUCUAGCAAUUCGAUCACCUGCAUGGUGACCUCCGACUGGGGAAGCAUGACAUGCUUCCAAUAUACUCUAUACAUCUACUUCUGGCACACAUCUCCUUAUAAUAUUGUAAGCAUACCACCGAAAUAAAUACGACUCAUCGCAAAAGUAAUGUCUCACAUCAUGAAGGAAUUUCAUUCUUUGAUGAAAAGAAAGAUUUUUUUGGGAUCAACUCGCUUACCACAUAGUUUGCAAAAUCAGCGUACCUAGGUAUUUUCUCCAUAAUAGCAGCCAAGAUCUCUUCAUCCAAAAAUGCAUCAGUGAUCUCCAUUUUAUCUCUAACUACUUGCUCACCUUCCAUCCUAGACAGAUAAUCUGCAACUUAGUUUUCACAACCCUUUCUAUCUUUGACUUCAAAGUCAAAUUCUUGGAGUAGCAACACCCAUCUAAUAAACCUUGGUUUUGCGUCCUUCUUAGCCAUCAAAUAUCUCAAGGCUACGUGGUCAAUGUGGACCACCACCUUGGUUUCUAUGAAAUAAGCCCAAAAUUUCUCAAAAGCAUAGACUACAGUAAGGAGUUCCUAUUCGGUGAUGGUGUAGUUCUUUUGAGCUCCAUUCAAUGCUUUACUGGCAUAAUAGGUUGGAUGAAUUUAUCCUUCUUUUUCCCCAACAUAGCUCCAAGGGCCACACCGCUUGCAACACAUAUGAUCUCAAACGGUUUCAAUCAAUCUGGUGUAACAAUGAUAGGGGCUUCAACCAACUUCUUUUUAAGGCAUUCGAAUGCCUUCAAGCAAUCAUCAUCAAAGAAGAACUUAGCUUCCUUCUCCAAAAGUUUGCAAAGUGGGUUUGCAAUCUUUGAGAAGUCCCUUAUAAACCUCCGGUAAAUGCCAGCAUAUCCAAGGAAACUACAUACUUUCUUCACAGAAAUGGGAGGUGGUAGAUUCUCAAUAACCUCCACCUUGGAUCGAUCUACCUCUAUCCCUUUUGCUAAAAUUUUGUGCUCAAGAAAAAUGCCCUCUUUUACCAUAAAGUGGCAUUUCUCCCAAUUGAGCACCAAAUUGAAUUACACAAAUCAUUGUAAGGCCCUACUCAGGUUUGCUAAACACAACUCAAAUGAAUCUCCUACCACAGAAAAAUCAUCCAUGAACACCUCUAAGGUAUCCUCCACCAUAUCUGAAAAAAUAGACAUCAUACACCUUUGGAAGGUAGUAGGUGCAUUACAUAACCCAAAUGACAUUCUCUUGAAUACAAAAGUGCCAUACGAUUAUGUAAAUGUCACAACCCAAAUGACACCCUCUUGAAUACAAAAGUUCCAUACGGAUAUGUAAAUAUCGUCUUCUCCUGAUAUUCAGGAGAGAUAUAGAUCUGAUUGUAUCCAGAAUAGCCAUCCAAAAAGCAAUACCACCCUAUUCCUGCCAAUCGAUCGAGAAUUUGAUCCAUAAAGGGGAUUCGGAAGUGAUCCUUUAAGGUCCAUGAGUUUAGUUUGCGAUAGUCCAUGAAAACCCUCCACCCAGUUACAAGACUGAGAGGAAUCAACUCAUUGUUUUCAUUUGCAACAACAGUCAUGCCCCCUUUCUUGGGUACACAUUGAACUGGGUUUACCCAUUUACUAUAGGGAAUAGGAUAAACCACUCCUAUGUCUAUCCACUUAAUAAUUUUAUUCCUAACCACCUAUUUCAUCGAUGGGUUAAAUCGGUAUUAAUGCUCGAUGGUUAGAGUAUAAUCUUUCUCAAGUUGUAUCUUAUGAGUACAAAUGCUAGAGAAAAUGCUAAUAAUAUCAGCAACAGUCCAGCCUAUUACUCUUUUGUACUUUUGAAACACCAAAAUAAGUUAUUCCACCUACUGCUCACCCAAAUCAUCAAUAAUAAUCACGGGUAAUGUGCUUCCAUUGCCCAGAAACACAUACCUUAAAUGCCCUAGCAGAUCUUUCAAUUCCAACAGUAGUGGCUCUUCAAUGGAUGGCUUCUCCGGUGGUGUUGGUCGAUUCUUAAGAUCAAGAUCUAGCUUCUUAGGAGCAUAAGAGUAUGAUCCUAUUCCUAUCAAAGCACAAAAAGUCUCUUCAUACUCCUCAAUGCCUUCACGAUUAAAAUUCAUAAGCAUUGCGGCUAGAGGCUCGACUGCAAAUUUCUCCUCUAUUGGCACCUCCUGCUCAUCCUUAUAAUAUACAACAACAGUUAAGAACAUAUUCAUUUCUUUAUGCUGCUUCAUUGAUUAGAACACAUCAAAGCACACCACUUCAUCAUUUAUCCUAAAUAAGAGCUCAUUAACUUACAAAUCAAUCAGCACACUUUCAGUUGUGAGGAAAGGUCGACCCAAGAUUAUGGGCACCUCGAAGUCCACCUUGGAAUCCAGAAUUAUGAAAUCUGCAGGAAAUUUAAAUAUCAUAUAAAAUAUUAAUAGGUCAUUUUACCGACCUAUCCUCCAUUACAAAUCGCAUGUUGGUGGGUGUGGGGUCUCCCAAACCUAGCUUUUUAUAAAUAUCUAGCGACAUCAGAUUAAUGCUCGCUCCCAGAUCACAUAAGUCCUUAUCAAAUUCCUGAGACCCAAUCGUACAAGGAAUAGUGAAUGCUCCUGUGCCUGCCUUUUUCUGCACCAAGGACCUUGUAUAAAUAACACUACAAUGAUGGAGAUUAUCCAUCGGUUCAUUACUCACCGCUCUUUUCUUCGUCAUAAGAUCCUUCAUAAAUUUGUCAUAUCCUGGCAUUUACUCAAGUACCUCUACCAAAGGCAUAUUUACUGUCAACUGCUUCAACAUUGCCAUGAACUUACUAAACUUUAUAUCGUCAGCCUUCUUCUUCAAUCUCUGAGGGAAAGGAGGUGGUGAUUUUGGGAGAGUCUUCACCACUACUUCUUUUUCCUUCUCUUUCCAUAGUUCCACCUCAUCAACCUAUUGAUAAUUGGAAGGGAUUUCAAUUUUUUAGUCUUCACUGGAUUACCUUCUUCAAGAUCAACAUCUUCUUUGAUCAUUUCUUCAUUCACAGCUUUGCCCCAAAAAGGGCCUGUUAAAACCUUACCACUAUGUAUGGUAAUAGCCAUGCAUGAUCCAUCAUUUCGAGGGUUAUGAAUUAUAUCACUUGGUAGCGUUCCACUCUUUCUCUGAUUCAAUACUGCAAAGAUUUGGCUCACUUGUAGUUCCCACUGCUUAAUCAAAGUGGAGUACGAGUUUACCAACUAACUCAUAGAAUACAAAUCGGUCUUCAUGGUAGUCACCCCAAAGUUGGUGGCCUCAACUCCCUUUAACAAUUUCUCCAUCAUGUCCUCCAUGGACAUCUUGCCAGAGCUAGUUGUAGCAUUAUCUCUACUUCUAUGAGGUACAUAUAGCCCACUUUUAUCAUUCUUGCUCUUCCAGUUUCCUUGAUCCUAGUCCUUAUGUCCAGCCUUGUCGUAGUAAGUCCAACCUUAAUUUCCUUGGCUAUUGCCUCAAAAAUCCCCCUGGUUAUUCAAAUAGUUAGCCUCUUCUUCUGAAUCUGAAUCAUCUCUACUUUGAGAUACAACAACUUUCACUUUUUCUAUUUUUGCAGAUAAUAAGUACUUGGUCAACAAAUCCAUCUGUGUCUUUAAGUAUGUCAUGUCUUGAUCGCGUUCUUCCUAUUUGUUACGUUAUUCUGCAGUCAUGCCAAUAGAAAUAGUAAGGCUUGCUACCACAGGAUCCCUGGUAUGCCAAGCUAUACUUUGUUUGAUCAUUCGAUCAAACAUUUUUGAGCCCUCUUGAAAAGUGAGAUCCACAAAUGAUCCCCCUGCAGCAUUACCAACAACUGGCUUUUGUAAUAGAGUUCAAAGCCCGAUAAAGAGUCUUCGUCAGAUGAAUAUCUGUCAUAUUAUGGUUCGGGCACUGCAUCAGCUUCUUUUUGAAACUCUCUCAUGUCUCGUAAAGAGAUUCAAUUGGGAGCUGCCUAAAGUUACUGAUAUCAUCCCUUAACUAUACCCUCCUGGAAGGCGGAAAAAACCUUUCUAGGAAAUCCUCUUUCAAUUGCCUCUAGUUGGUUAUAGAAUCGGGCAUCAGCUCAUUAAGCCACAAGGUUGCCUCCCCAGAUAGAGACAACAGAAAUGAACACAGGCAGAUGGAAUUUUGUCCCACUCCCAAGUUAUCAAAGGACUUGUAAAUAGUGACAAAGUUCACUAAAUGCAUAUUGGGAUCAUCCCCCCGGGAGUCCACCUAACAGCCCCUUUAGGUGGAGGAGUUGAAUCAUCAUCCUUGUAAUAUUAAACUUAGCUCCGAGUGCCAACGGUGGGGGAAUAAUAGCUCCAUUGCACCUGCACCAUCCUUUCAAUCAUCAUCAUCAUUAAGAUUAAAUUGCACAGCUUGGCGAUCAGGUCUCUCUCUAAAAGGAUGAUUUCUGUUUAUAUUUCUGUUCAUUGGUGCAGCUAUAUCCUCUAUACACCUUUGAUUUACUAGACCCAACAAAUCAUCAUCUCCUAGGUCCUCUUCAUCUAGAUUAGGUACUCGAUCUGGGUUAUUAGCAUACUAUUGAUUUAAUUGAGCAUUACCCAAAGUGGCUAAUCUUUCAGCUUCCUGUUGGUUAGCCUUCUUUUAAUGAGAUGCGGUUCAGGAUUGAAGGGUAAUAAUGGUUCUCCUGAACUUCUGAUUCAUGGCGUAAACAACAAUGAACCUGUAACAAACAAAAACAACAAAUAAACGUAAAAUUAAGAAACUAGACUAAUAGUCAGUUAACACACAUAAACUUAAUUGACAAUCGUACUCCCCGACAACGGUGCUAAAAUUUGAUAUAACCAAAUUACAACUUUCUUACGAAAGUGUAAACGAUUGUUGUCAAAUAUAUAACCCAACUAGGUUAGGAUCGAAUCUCAUAGGGAAUAGGGUGCUAAUUAAGUUGUAUGUAGAUUAGUUGACUUUUAAUCAUUUGUUCCCGUAAAGCAAUAGGGUUUUUUUAUUUAAGUACGAAGUAAUAGUUUCAAUGUAAUAGUGAAGCAAUCCGUGUAAUAAUCUUUGAAUUUAGAGAAUAACAAGCUAGGGUUAUGUCCACCUUGUAGUUUUUAAUAUUUUCUUACUAAGGGUGUUAAAAAUUCAUACAUGCAUGCACUUAUAGAGAAACGUAUUCAAAUUCUCAAUCCAAGCGUUUCUCAACUAUCAAGGAUUAAUUCACUUUAGUUCUCUUGACUCAAAAGUGUUUACUCAAUUAUAUGAAAUCUCCAAGUUGUUAAUCCUGUUAAGGCAUUAACGUGUGAAAUACAGGUUGGAAAUCCUAUUUUCUUGUCACUACUCUUUUUCCUAAACGUUAGCCUUUCUAUCGAACAAGUUAUGUUUCAAUGGCACAUUCCCUGUCUUUGCAACCACGAGAAUUCAAGCAUAAUGAAGAGAGUAUGAUAUAAGUAAAUCAAUGCAUAAUGAAUUCAAAACCCAUAGAAAUAGAUAGUAUGCUACAAGAUUUCCAUAACCCUAACCAAUAAGCUUAGAUACUCAUGGACAAAAUGAAAAUCACCAUAAUUAUGUAUCACACAAAAACUAGAAGACGAUCUUGGUGUAUAAACAAUGAACCAAAAGAAAAAUAUUUUUCUCAACUCUAAGCUGCCAGUCUCCUUUCAAAAAUAAUACAGAAUAUCCAAUAAUGAUAACAAUUCAGCAUCAAGUCUUUUUAAUAAUCUUUUCUCUCAUAAUUGCCUUCUAAGUCCCUGAACUAAUUAUAAAUGACAAAUUAGUCUUAGACAUAGUUUUUAGGCGCCAUAUUUGGUCCAACAAGCUACUUUUCUCUUGUGUGAUUUGUCAUCUGCAAUCCGUAGUUCCAUCAUGUCUUUAUCUACCCCAUUAACACCUGAAAUCAUGCUAAUCACAUAGGUUAGCUCAAUUACAUCAAAGUAGAGGUAAAGCAUAAGAAACUAGGCACUUUGUUCUCAAAACUUAGCCAAAAUAUGGGUAAGUUAUGGUGCUUAGAUGUUUAAAUACACCCAAGAUCAGUGUGAUAGAUGCAAUAAAAGUUAAGACUUUUAGAGACAAGAAGGAAGAGGUGAUGGGUGACGACCUAGGGAUGACACCUAAGAAGUCGGAGGUUUUCCAUCUUGCCCUACAAGAUCAAGAUGGGAAUCGAGGUUGGAACUAAAAAAAUAAACAUUGUACAUCUUGAAGAGAAAUAGGAGAUUGAUAGAGAGAUUUUGGAGAAAAUUUUAAGUAAUAUUGAGAGGACCAGAGAAAUGGUAAAUGAAAUACAAAGUGAAUUCUCAACGCUCCACCAAAUAGUUGUAUCUCACUCAUCCACUAUUCAACAACUCGAGGCAAAAGUGAGCGAAAUAUCAAAGUAUUUAAUGGAAAGGAAUAAUGAAGAAACACAAAAUGGGGAUGCAUUAAAAUCAAAGUGAAAAAGGCCCAAUGUUGAGGAGUCAAAGUUAAAAGAGUCAUUGAUAAGGAAGCCUAUUAAUAACGAGUGUCAAAUUGUUUCUAUUCCUCUAACUCCCAUGAAUCCACCUUUCAAAAAAUGGUCAUUAAGGAAGGGAAAGCAUGAUAAACUCAAUAAUAUCUUUAAUAAGUUUAGCAACCUCUCUAUUAAUAUCCCUCUUAUUGAGGUAUUACAAGACAUGCCGAGGUAUGCUAAAUUUAUUAAAGAUUUGGUGUCAAAAAAUAUUGUGGAGGAGGAAACCAUAGAGAUUACUCACCAUUGUAGUACCAUCAUGACAAGUGUGUAUGUUGAAAAGAGAAAGGAUCCCUGUGCCUUUACAAUCUCAUGCACCAUUGGCACUUUCAUGUUUUCUAGGGCAUUGUGUGACCUUGGGGCAAGUGUGAACCUCAUGCCUUACGCGAUAUUUCACAAACUUGGGUUGGGUAAUCCAAAACCCACCAAAAUCAAGUUGCUUAUGGUUAAUCGAUCCAUUAAGAAACCUAUUAGGAUCCUCUAUAAUGUUCUAGUAAAAGUAGACCGGUUCAUUUACCCGCCCGACUUUGUUAUUAUGGAUUGUUCCAUGGAUGUGGACAUUUUCAUUAUCCUUGGGAGGACAUUUUUGGAUACCAGGAAUGCAUAGGUAGAUAUAGAGGCCGAGGGAAUCAAGUUUAAAUUAGAUGGUGAAUUGGUACACUUCAAUAUAUGCAAGACUAUGAAACAACUAAUGGACCAACAAGUCAUCUUGGUAAUCAAUGUGGUUGAUGGCGAGGUGUCUAACUAUGUCGAUGUAAGCUUGUUGAAUAACCCGUUGGUUGGGGUGCUUCAGAAUUAUGAAAGGGAAGAAGUAAAGGAGUAUGACGAAGUGGUAGCUUCUCUCACCAGGCUUGGGUUUCAUAGCAAGAACCCAGCUAAGUUAGAUCUUGACAUUAAAAAUUGCAAAAGUCCACCCGCCAAACUAUCCAUCCUAGAACAUCCCAAAAUUUAACUACAUCCCUUACUACCUCAUCUCAAAUACAUGUUCUUAAGGGGGAUGGGACUUUGUCGAUCAUUGUUGCUAGUGACCUAAAUUUCUCUCAAGUAGAAGCAUUAAAGUUAGUGGUAAAAAAUCAAUUUGGGCCAUCGAAUGGACGAUAGUAGACCUCAUUGAAAUAUCUCUCGAUUUAUGAUCACAUAAAAUUAAACUCGAGAAAAAUCACAUACCAAGUUUGGAGCACCAAAGAAUAUCAAACCAACCCAUGCAAGAGGUGGUGAAAAGGAGAUUAUAAAGUGGCUUGAUGCAGGAGUGAUCUAUACUAUAUCUAAUAGCACGUGGGUAAGCCCCGUGCAAUGUAUUUCGAAGAAAGGUAGAAUCAAGGUGGUCGAGAAUGACUAAAAUGACCUCAUCCCCAUUCGACCAAUCACCGGAUGGCGAGUGUGUAUGGACUACCAAAAAUUAAACUCAUUGACCGAGAAGGACCAUUUUCCAAUGUUGUUUAUAGAUCAAAUAUUAGAUAAAAUUGCAGGAAGAGAGUGGUAUAUCUUUUUGGAUGGGUACUCUUUAUACAAUUAAAUUUGUAUCACCCCAUAGGACCAAGAAAACAAAACCUUUACAUGCCCAUUUGGGACGUUCGCAUUUAAGAGAAUGCUAUUUGGAUUGUGUAAUGCCCCGACAAUCUUUCAAUGUUGCAUGUUGUCCAUAUUUUCUUACUUGGUUGAAGACACUAUAGAAGUAUUCAUGGACGACUUCUCAGUAGUGGGAAAUUCUUUCGAGACAUGCCUCUAACACUUGAAUAAAGUGCUUGAAUGGUGCAUGGAAACAAACCUUGUCUUGAAUUGGGAGAAAUGUCAUUUCACUGUAAAAGAAGGAAUUGUAUUAAUCCACAAGAUUUUGGGGAAAGGCAUUCAAGUUGAUCAAGCUAAAGUUGAGGUAAUUGCCAAACUUCACCAAGUCAAAGUAGAUCAAAGUAGAUCAUUCUUUUUAAAACGGAGGGAGUACUUUAUUGUGAUAAUAAGUUCCACUUUAAUACUAUAUGUGUUGGGAUUCGAUUAACGAAAAUACAUUUAAAUGUGAAACUUUAUAUUGUCCCCUACCCCCAUCUCUAUAAAAGGUGUUGAAAGUUUUCUUGGCCAUGCCGGGUUCUAUCAUCGUUUCAUCAAGGAUUUUUCCUAGAUAGUACAUCCUAUGUGUAAGUUUCUUGAGAAAGAGUCCAAGUUCAACUUUGAUGAAUCAUGUCUCAAAGCCUUCGAGUAUCUUAAGGAAUUUCUCAUUUCAGCACCAAUUAUUGUGGCUCUAGAUUGGUCAUCCCCAUUUAAGGCAAUGUACAAUGAAUGUGGUAUUACAUUGGGUGUGGUGCUAGGGCAAUGAAAGGACAAGCCUUUUCAUCCUAUUUACUACGCGCAAAACUUUGAAUAAUGCCCAAUGCAACUACACCGUCAUUGAGCAAGCAUUAUUGGUAGUGGUUUAUGCCUUUGAGAAGUUUUGAGCUUAUUUUUUAAGCACAAAGGUAGUGGUACACGGACCAUUCCACUCUUAAGUAUCUCAUGGCCAAGAAAGAAGCAAAACUGCGGUUAAUUAGUUGGAUUUUUGUAAUCCCCUGAGUUUGUACCCCAAACUCUACACGGUGCUUACAACCUCGAAGGACCACAAGCUAAACCAUGACUGAUAUCUGCUGUGAGCAUUGAAUAAUAUACUAAAAUAAAUACAAAAUAAUAGGCUGAAAUAUCGUAAGGUUCAAAAUUUGUAAAUACUGAUAAAAUGUAACAACUGAAAUAACAAUUUAUAAAAUUGAACAUUGUCUGAAAACUGGCCUGAAAAGCCUCUAACUAAACUGUCUAAAAGUGGAGUUGAUGGGACAAGCCCCCAACUAACCCAAAAUACUAAAACUAUUAAAAAUCUAAAAUAAAAUAAUAUCAUCGAAUGAUGAGGACUUACUGCUAAAUCUGCUACUGACUGAAUCUGGAUCUAUCUAUGCGUGAUCAGGAACCUGAGUGUCCAAACCAAUGAUAUGAAACAUCAUAGUGUAAGAAAGAGUAUACGUCAGUACGUGGGAAUGUACUGGUAUGCUAGAUGGGGUAAGGCUGAAUGCAAGGGUUCAUAUGCAUGAAUAAUAACUGACUGCUUGAUAUAAAGUAACUGAACAUGAGAGUACAUGGAUAACUGAUACUACUACAGUUACUGAGUGUGCACUAAUGUGCAUAUAAAUAAAUGUUGUGACUAAGAUUGUCUGAAGCUAAGUCCUAAAUUCUAAUACGGAGUAACUGAUAUUUAAAGUUACUAAUAACUGAUUUACUGAUACUAGUUGACUGUAUCUGAUAGUCUUGAUUUUGUAGAAUUGAACUGAGUAUUAUUCUAAAGACUGAGACUAAAAUUGUGAGAGGUAAUCAUCUAACCGAUAUGAUCCAAAUAAGAUAAGAUAACUAAGUUGGGUCCAAUCUAUAACCCCAAUUAGAAAGGUGUCAAUACUGUGCCAUGGGUAGGGAUAAGCUGAGAGUUACCCUCAUCUGGCGGGUACUCUAAUGAGAAUGGUGGAACCCUCAACUGGCAGGUUUGAUGUCUCAACCUAUGCUGGCUACAUAGUUCUGGAAUGCAAGGAUUGCUUCUAAGGAUCACACCCUCUACUAGCAGGUGAGCCCCCAUCCUUGGGUUCACUCGGUGCUGAAUCCUACUCCCAACUGAAAGACUCUGAACUAAGCAUACUAAACUAUACUGGACCGAGACUGAGUUUACUAAGCUUUCCUGAAUUCUAUAACUGAUUGAGAAUACUAUUGAUCGUGACAUGACUGAGAUUCUGUAACUGACACUGGCUCUAGGUAAAUAGCUAAAUUAUCAAGUAAUAAAUACCCCCAGGACUCGAUAGCAUGAAAAGUAAAGCAUAGUAUAAUCUUGAAUAACAUGAAAUUUUUCACUUGUUCAUAAUUCAUCCAUAGAGACUUUUUAUCAAACACUUGUCAGGCUUCUACUUAUUCAUGAAGAGGGAACACAUGGUAUCAGGUUAUAAUGACACUAAUUCAUUCACAUAGGCAUUUUAUCAAACACAUGGGGAGCAUGCUUAGGUUAUACAACAAUCAACACACAUAGUUAUCAUAGCUACAUCAAUCAACUUGUAAAUUGAAGAGGUUUACUAAGAAGAUUAUGUAAUUCAACACAUAUAAUGAUUAAUUUCAUGAAAUCUUGUAAUUUAACUAUAGAUAAAAACCCAACAAUAAUAUGAACAUGAAUUCAAUUUAAUUCAAGCAUGGAAGUUCAUAACUCAACAAUCUUAUAGUUUAAAAAUGGAUUUGUGGACUCUAUUGGUGGAAUGGACCCAUAGAUGAACACCUAACAUACCUUGAAAUGUUAAUUCUUGAAGGUUCUUAGAGAAAUUCUUGAGAUUUGUUCUUGAAUUUUGAAACUAGGGCUUCUUGCUUUUGAGAGAGAAUGAUGUACUUUGGGGAAAAUUGAGUGCAUAAUGAUAUAUUUUGGUCAUUUAGGAAUUAAUUUCAUGUUUAAGGUUGAUCUGGGUCAUGGAAAAAUUCUAAGUUGCCCUUGGGAUUUAAAAUCUCGCAACUGGAAUGUCAAUUAACGCCUCACGUGACACGGUGAAUGGGUUAUCUCUAUAUCCAUUAUGACGUGGUGGAAUUGCGGUGACUCUCUGGAUGGUGAUAAUUGCUAUUUUAGAGUUCACCGCGACGUGGAACAAUCGCGGUAACCCUCUGGAAAUUGACAAAUACCAAAAUAGCCUUCAACACGAUGUGAUAGAGUGCUCAUCGCAAUACUCACCGUGAUACGACCAAAUUGCGGUGAGCCACUAUUUUUACAUAAACUCCCCUAACUCUUCGCCCGGGUAUCAGAUUUGGGGGAAUUUUAUAUCGUUGGAAAGCUGACUGAAUUUUCUACGCAUUGGCAGGUGCUAAACUAAAAAAUUAUGAGUAUUUCAUAAAUUUUAUAUAGGAUAACUCAUGUACUUAGAGCUAAGUUAAGCUCUAGGAAUUUGGUGUAUUACAAUUUUGUUGCUAUAAGAGUUCAACUUUGAGGUGAAAGACCAAAAAGGAUGUGAGAAUCAAGUGGACGAUCAUCUCCCACAUCUAGAAAGCAACAUUAAAAAGCAUGGGGAGAUAGAAAUUGAUAAUGCUUUUCCCGAUGAGUUAAUUAUGGCCAUCGAGGGGAAAGGUACACCAUGUUAUGCAGACUUUACCAACUAUGUCAAGAGCGGUGUACUCCCCAAGGGACUAGGCCAUCAUUAAAAAAAUGAUUUCUAUUUGAUGCGAAGUGAUGUUUCUUGAAUAAGCCAUUUUUAUUUCGAGAAUGUUCUGAUGGAGUUAUUAGGCGGUGUGUCAAGGACUUUGAAAUAAAUGACAUCUUGGAGGCUUGUCACUCGUCACCUUACAUAGGUCAUCAUGGAGGAAGCCAAACUACCAUUAAGAUUCUCAAAUAACGAUUUUAUUAGCCUACCAUGCAUAAGGACGCCGUUGAAUGGGUGAAAUCUUGUAUAAAUUGUAUAAUGCAUGGUGUCAUUUCAAGAAGGCACGAGAUUCCUCUCAAGCCUAACUUGGAGGUAGAACUCUUUGAUUUAUGGGGAAUCGAUUUUAUAGGACCUUUUGUAAGCUCCUUUGGGAAUAAAUACAUCCAGGAGCGGUGGAUUACAUCUCAAAAUGGGUGUAAUCCAUCGCACUCCCUACUAAUGAGAGUAAAUAAGUUACCUCCUUCCUAAAAAAGAACAUUUUCAUAAGGUUUGGUACUCCUCGGGCCAUCAUUAGUGAUGGCAGCUCAUAUUUUUACAAUCGAAUAUUUGGUACUCUUCAUGAAAAGAAUGGAGUCAAGCACAAAGCCGCCACCCCAUACCACCCCCAUACAAGUGGUCAAGAGAAGGUAUCAAAUCGCGAAAUCAAAGCCAUACUUGAAAAGAUGGCAAAUACAAGACACACUAAUUGGGUAAUGCAACUUGAUAAGGCACUUUAGGCCUAUAGAACAGACUACAAAACCCUAAUUGGUAUGUAUCCCUAUCAAUUAGUUUUUGGUAAGGCAUGCCAUUUACCCAUUGAACUUGAGCAUAAGGCUUUGUGGGCUUUGAAGAGAUUGAAUAUAAACUGGAGAGAAGCAUCCGAGGCACGGGUGGCCUAACUCCAUGAGAUGGAGGAAUUCUGGCUAAAGGCUUAUGAAAGUGCGACAUUGUAUAAGGAGAAAAUAAAGAAAUGGCAUGAUGCUCAGAUAGUGCAGAGAGAAUUCUAUGUUGGAGAGAAUGUACUCCUCUAUAACUCCCAUUUGAAACUCUUUGCAGGGAAGCUCUACUCAAAAUGGUCAAGACCAUUCGUGAUCUCUACAGUCAACCCAAGUGGUACAGUCGAGUUGGAAGAUAAUGAAGGAAAUAAAUUCGUAGUCAAUGGCCAAAGAGUGAAGCACUACAAUGAAAAAUUCCCCAUGAUAGCCAACUUGAGGGCAUUAACUUCAAAGAUGCUACAUGGUAAUAGGAAAGAGUCAUUCUGUGACAUUAAAUUAGGCGCUUGAAGGGAGGCAACCCAUUCUCAACACAUUUUGUGUCAUUUUGGUUUUUGGUAGGUCGUUUAGGACAAAUAAGAUACUCAAAAAAAUAGGGGAAAAUAGAGAUGGAAAAUUUGUAGCUAUGCAGGAAAUGAAAAAUAGAGAAAAAAUAGGGGAUUUCCCUCUCAGUUACUGCAAUCGCGGCCAUCAGAUCGUGAUCACGUCAGCGCGAUCACGGGCAUGAUGACGCAUUUAUGGAACUAGAAUCUUUCGAUGCCUAUUGAUUUAAGGGAGUCUUUCUCACCUCUUUGUACUUUUUGGAUUUUAAAUUUACUUUUGUAAGGACACUCCAACUUUUAAGUUGGGGGUGUUUCAUGGUUAUGUAAGUGGUAAGGCGACAUGAGGUAUCCUGCCUAUGAAUGAACUUUGCCCUAUAAUAAUGUAAGGGAAGUCUGAGUACCUGUAACAUUGUACACCAUUGGCGAAGUCUGAGUAGCCAUAUGGUUAGUUCACUCGUUUUGAGCCAAGAUAUGAGACUAAGGCUUUGGUUGUAGUCGUAAGUUAACAAUAUUGUUCAUGGUACUAUUGCAAAUCAAGAACCCACUUCUUCUCUAAAAUUUUUGAAAAAUCAAGGGCAUGGACGUGAUCAAUGUGCAACAAAAUUUUUUCUCUUUUUCUAGCUUCAUAUAUUUUGACUUGUAGAUAAGGAAUAGACACUCUAUGAUUAUUUCCAUCAGAGGGGACAUUUGAACUCGCUUUAAGAAUUUUGCAUUCCAUGUAUGGUGAGAAUAUUGCAUUCAUCUCUUGUAUACUUGUGUUAUCUAAAACUUUCCCCAUUAGUCUUUCAAAGAAAAUUUUAAUUAUAUUUGGUUGGAAAAAUGAUCUUAGUCCAUCCUUGUGGUCUUGGAACCCACUCUAGCCUAAAAGGCCUACCCAUUCAUAAUUGUAAUCCUUAGUGCCCACUUUGAGCCUUUUUACUUUUCCUUGGCAAACAUGUUACAAGCCGUGAACCAUUUUUUUUAUCCCUCUUUUGAACCCUACCCUCCUUGGACUUGAAAAUUAAACUUGAGGCCAAGAGGCUAAGUUAGGGGUAGUAAAGAUUGAUGAAAGCAAGUUUAGGGCCACAAAUUUGUAAGUGAAAUGCCUAAUGUGCCUAAGCUUUAAAAUCAAAAGAACAAAAUAGGAAAAAGUCUAACAAAGAAAAGUUUUGCAUGGAAAUAAUAAGAAAAUGAAGUAAGAGAAAAAGUGGUGACAAAAGAAGCAAGAGAUAGGCAUGAAGAAAGAAAGAAGAUAAAAAAGAGUAGUCCUUAGUCGAAAGAGAAGGAUCGUACAGAGUGAAGUAGAUGUUCAAGGUAAGGUAUAAUCAUGUUUUUCUUAAAUGAUAUCUUACCCUAACCUGAACCUACAUUACAAGCUUAGAAUGCCAUUUGAGAUCUCCAACCACUUACUUUCUUUGUAGUGGUGAUUGAAAAGAGGGGCAAGCCUAUGGCAUAAUGCCGGUUGCAUUUAGAUUUAUUUUGUGAGGGGAGAGUUCUUGCGCUUAAAUUUCCAUAUUGCAUAUUCGGUAGUUUGGUGUGUGAAAAUUCUCUUUCUUGUGAGGACAAAAUAUAAGUAUGUUGAGGUGACUAACUUUUGUCACCCCCCCCCCCUCUUGAAUAAUGAGGCAAAUGGAGUAUGGUUUAGUGUUAGUCAAAAGGUGAGGCACUUCUAGAGUAUUGGUCUUGGUUGCUUGAUUUCUCUUUAAAGUCUUAUGCAUCCCUUGAUUAUUGCAUUUUUAAUAAGGGUUUUUGUGAAAUUAUUUUAGUACAUGUGCAAUAAGCUACUUGUGGUUGCGAUUCAAGUUGAAGUUGAUAUGGCCUUUAAGGCAUAAAAUUAAGGCAUAGAUAAUUGUAUCUCAUGGUAAGAGGUGGUGUUGCUUGGGGACAAGCAAAUGAUCUAAGUUUAGGGUGUUGAUGAGUGGUGGUUUUAUCACUCAUAUUCAUCCAACAUUCAUACAUUUUUCCUUGAUUUAACUGAUAUAGUGAGACCUAAGUGAUUUACACAAGGGGACUCUAAAUUUGUUAAGUGUGGGGGAAUCCAACCACAUUACAUUUAAUUAGGGACUAUUCAAUGGUUAGAUAUGUGUGUUACUGGACUAAUUUUAUGUGGAAUCAUGCACUAGUAUCGAAUUCGGACUGACCUAAUUUGAUUUCAUGUUGGACUAAUUUCAUAUGGAAAUAUAUGUGUACCUGUUGUCUGAUCUUAUGAGUAAUCGUGCACUUGUGUACCAAUGUAAAUUUAAGAAAAGGCAGAUUUCUAUGUGUUAUAAAUGAGACAGCAGAUGAAUGCACUAUUCUGCUUUAUCUAAAAUUAUGUGAGCAAUUGUGCUUUUGUUGACUAAUACUAGAGGGGAAGACUGAGUAACCCAAUUUUUCUAUCAAAGCAUUUGUACUAGCAACUAAGUGUGGGGUGUUUCAACACCAACAUAAUUAGUUAUUUCUAGUUCAACAUUUUUCGUAUGUUUGAUAUAGUUGGUGCAUUUUCUACUUCAAUAGGAAAUACGUCAAGUCGACAAUAAAAAGGCAAGGCAAAGGUAGGAUCUUCUGAACCAAACAGAAAAAGAAGCAGACUAAGUGGUAGUGUAUCGCAGCCCCCGGCUGUUCAACAUAGGCAAGCAAGAAUGUAUGGUAUUAGUUGGGUGUUAGAUGCUGGCCGAAAAUGGUAUACAAAGCAUGAUGAGUCGAAGUGUACAACUAAAUAAUUUAUUCACAGAGAAAAUCUUCUGAGAGAGUUUCCCCAUAUUAUGCGCCGAAUAGAGGAAUUACAUAUGGAUUUCUUGUUUGCACAGCCUCGUGAUUGCAAUAUGAGCCUCAUAAGAGAAUUUUAUGCCAAUUGGGACCUACGAGAUUGAGAUAAAGAAGUCAAAAUAUGAGGAAAGGUUAUAACUUUCAAUGCUCAUUCAUUGAAUGUUCUUCUCGGGGCACCUGAAGUUGAUGUUGAGCCCCUAAAGCUAAUGCAUGUAGAACCAACUUCUGCCGACAUUCUCUAUUUUCUUUGUAGCAACCACUCGAUAGUAAGAUGGACCCACAAUAAAGAGAACAAUAUUCACCUCACAUUACCCUCAGUUAAAUAAACAAGGAGGCCUGAAUCUGGGAUAAGAUCAUCUACAUUUAUCUCAUACAGGCAAUGCACUUGACUGAUAUGAUACGUGAAUGGGUUAUCUAUGCCUUAAUGUAUGAUAAUUUUGAUGUGAAUGUAGGUACAGUGAUUUUUACAGCUAUGAAAAAGACGCAUCUUCAUUCGGAGAACAGAUUUGGUUUUAGGGGUUUACUGACAAGGUUUUUAUGAGAUCAAGAAGUACAUGAGGAGAACCUGGACUAUAGGUUUCCUGUGAUCACCAGCCCUAUUGAUGUAAUCUACAUUGACUAUGCCCAAGCGUCAGGUUUGGAAUGAUGAGAUUACAACCCGAAUGAAUGGGAUACAGAUGCUUUAAUUACAGGUUGGUAGGCACGCAGCUACCCAAUUGGAGAUUAGAGCGGUAGAGAUGGACUAUUCGCUUGGUUAUCAUGUGAAGACCAUGCUACGAAUAGGUCCUAAUUUUGUAGUGCCAGUUGAUGAUGAUGUUCCCACAAAUGAAGAGCCGAGGGUGCGUUAUUCAGGUGAUGAAUCAAAGGAGGAGGAGCUCAUGAUGAUCUAGAUUUAGGAGAUGAAGAUGCUGAUGUGGUUAAGGAUGGCAUGUGAUCAAAGAGUCCCUCCCCACCUCAUACUAUACUUAUUUUUCAAGAACUGGGUCAGUGCUUUCUUUUAAGUGUGUGCUGUGAAAGUCUCACUACUUUUACUUAUUUCUGUCUUUAUUUUUGUCGAAAAAUUUUAAUUUUCACUUUUGGGUGUUUUAUUUUGCUGUGUGGAUGUUUAAUUUUGCAUUCUGGCUAUUCAGAACACUACGACUGUAAUAGUUAGUAAGUUGAAAGUAUUGCUGCAAUUUGCCCUCAAGGGCUUUUUCGUGCAUUGCUUCAGUUUAAAGUAUUUAUAUUCGCCCUUUUUGGAAAAUUUAGUUUAACAUAUUUAUUUUUGCCCUCCUUGGCAAUUCUUUCAUAGUUAGUUUCCCUCCCCUAUGAUAGAUAUGUGACGAUCGUCUUAAGGGGAGUUAGUCUUUAGAAGCUGAGAAUUGAUAAAAACCCAAUUACGACUUUUGAGAAAUGAUUUGUGUUGGGUCAUUUUUUAGUGAACGAAUUUGUUUUGAAAAAAAGAAAAAAUGAGUUAUUUUUAGAUAUUAAAUCUCAAUAGGUGUAAUACGACUUGUUGGCUUAGUGUGAAUUUGACAAAGAACAAGAUUGGGAACCUUAAGGAUCCAACUUGAUUCCUAGCAUGCACCGAGAGUGUGAGCAUUUGUUUGUAUUCUACAUGUAUAGGAAUGUCUAGAACUUUCCCGGUGUGUUUACAAAUCAAAAUAAAGGGUUUUGGCUGUAGGAAGUGAUUUAGGCAUUUCUUUGUUAGCCAAAUUGUAUAGACUUUAUUUACCUGCUUUUAUGCAUAUCCCUAGUUAGCCCUGUUGGGCCUAUAGCCUGAUUUCUUUGGUAGCAUCAUGUGUAGACAAAUCCUUUGUAGCCUCAUGUGUAGACAAAUCCUUUCUUUGAUAGAACUUUGAUUUGAUCCAUAACUCCUGAGCACUUUAGCAUAGAUGAUUAAAUAAGUAGGGAGUAUGAAUUGAAGAAGGAGAAAGGUGAAAGUGAAGCCUUAAAAGAAUAGCUAUGUGUGUGUUUAAUUUUCGUGGUUGGGAGUUAAAGAAAUUUUUUGAAAAGAAGUUCAGUUUUCUUAUUGCCUAGUUGAGUUACAAUGAAACUAUUUUGGCCCUGGUCCAUUUUGGACACUGUGCACCUCAACCAAGGUGAAUAACUUUAGUUGAGGGUGACUAUUAUAGGGGUGCGUAACAGUAAAUAGGUGUGAAGAAGAUCUGAAAAUUGAAUCAUGAUGUUAAACAAAACUGUUCCCACCAUAGCUUAUGCUAAUGUGCUUAAUGAGAAUUGGGGUGAAACAAAUAAUGUGGAAAGGUAACAAAGUGAAAAUUGGGGUUAUAGAAUGUGAUUUCGGUUGAAGAUUGAUAUGUAUUAAAGCACUUAGGGUGAUUAGUCACUAUUUUUUAAAUAGUACCUACCCGACCCUUAGCCUGCAUUGCAGCCAUGGAAGACCUAGUUGAUCCUACGUUUCAACAUCUGACUAUUAGUGGAGUAGUACACUAAGGGCAAGCUUAUGGUUCAUUUUCUAUCAUGUAUGAAUUCUUUGUUGAGAGUGAGUGAUCGAAUUUUGAUGUUCCCCGCAUGAGAAAUACUGAAAAAUUGUGAGUAGUAUGGGGAAACUUUCUUGUUAUGAGGGUGCAUGCGGAUGAAUGUCUGUAUUACUUAUUAUAUAGUUUGAUUGAGUAUUUUGAUUAAGUUUGCCGAUAAAUCGGAUGUCACUAUUGAGAUAAUGAGGUUUGAAACAAUUUGUUCAUGUUCAUAAAAGUAUUCUUGAUAUGUUUUGAGAUGAAGAGUCAUUGUUAUAAAUUGUAAGUGCCCAAUGCAAGCAUAACUCAUAGGUUGUGAUGUGGAGCUUAAUUAGGGAGUAUAUUUGUGAUUGUUUGAGGAAGAACAAGGUUUUAAGUGUGGGGUGGUGAUCUUGGGUGUAUUUAUACGUCCAAUCACCAAUAUUCACCCAUAUUUAGACUAGUUUUGAGAGCCAAAAUGUGAUAUUCUUAUUGCAUUUAAGCCUUAAUUGUGUUUCGUAUCUAACCUAUGUGAUUAGUGAUGCAAGGUGUAUUUCUAAUGGAAUUGGGCAAAAAUCGAAUGCAUAUUACGAAGCAAGUGGUGAUUGAUAUUAUGAGAUGAUUACAUAGAGUAUCGUGAACAUUGGAAGGAGUUGUAAAGUAGGAGGGAAAGGUUGGAUCAAGUAUCGAAGCAAGAAGAUGAAAGAGAUGCAUUGUUGCAUCUCUGUGGGAGCCGUAGUUGCAAUAUUCAAUAGAUAGAAGAUUUGAGGUCGGGAGACCAAGAUCGUACUAUAAAACUUGUGAAUCAACAACCCGAUAACCACUUAGACAGCGAUAAGAAUAGAGAUUUGUAAGAUUGUUAGAAGUACCUCAACCCUGAAAUUCUCAUCAUUACUGUUUACAAUUGUUGCUUGUUUUGCUAUUGUCACAAAUUUUUAUUUCUUAUUUAUUAAUUUACAUUUUCAUUCUUAAAUUCACAAUCAUCUUGAUAUUUUACAAUACUUAAUACCUCCUUGUCUAAAACUAAAAGUUGGUUGAAUUUCUAGUUGCUUAGUCCUCGUGGGAAUAAUAUCUGACUGUCUAAGUCAGUAUUUUACUUGUAUGAUCACGUACACUUGCAUUUGUAUUUGAGCCGCAAUAAGUUUUUGAGGCAACGGCACCAAAAAAUUGACAGUGCCCAAGCGCACACACAAGUGUACGCGGUCUUAUCAAGUAGUAAAGUGGCUUCAAGGAAGCCCAAGUAUUGGUCUCUCAGGGACUUGCGUUUGCCAAAUAUCUAAUUCUAGUUUAACCAAUUGGGGAGAGUAGAAAAUAGAGUUUUAGAAUUGUAAAUUAAUAAUAAACUAAACUAAUGCGGAAAAGUAAAUGACUUUGGACAAUCAAAGGAUAGAGAUCCAGGGUUAAGGCUUACGAACAAUCAUACUACGUUAUUGAAUUUCAUUCAUUAAAUUGCUUAUCUUGGUUGUUGAUUCAUUGGGUUAAUUGCAUGAUCAUGGUCUCUCGACCACUAAAUAUUUACCUAAUUUGGACAUUACAACUACAUCGUUGAACGGGGAUGCAAUAAUCCAACUAGGUAAUUUGAAGCUAUCAUCCUACGUGUGAAUCAAAUAAGGCUUCUAGGUAUAUCCCUAUCUAAGAUGCUAAUUCAAAUUCCUUAUUUUACAAAAGAAUAAGAACCUUGUUCUAUCUGCCCCAUGUUCUAUAUUUUUAUUCCCCCUUCCAAGAUCAUAAGGUCGACAAUGAAUAUAUUUUAAGGGCUAUGAAUCCUUAAAAUGGUUAUAACAAGGGUAAAUAAACAACCAUAAUGAUAUGCAAUUCAACAAAAUUAAUUCAAAAUAAAAUAAUCAUGAUCUUGGACUCAACCCUAGAAAAGUAGUUUUAGCCUUUAAUGGAAAUAUUCAUCAUCCAAUCCCCUGGAUUGAUGAUACAAGCCAUGAAAGAAACUAAAGUUAAGAAAAUAAAACCCUAAAGAAUGUGUAGAGCAGCCUCCAAUUGUCCAAAGAUAUCCAUAAGUAUGUAAAAACGUGAUAUAACAUUUAUUUAUAGUAUAGGAUCAAUCCAAGUCCGUGUUGGAGUUGGAAAAAUUCAGUUAUUGAUCCCGGGAGUGGACAGGGUGCCGCCCUGGCUAUUGUCCCGCUCCAGGCAAGGUUGCGCCCAGGGUUGAGCACCGCUUCAGGCAAGGCGUAGCCUCCAUAUCACCUUGGUUCAUUGUUUUGGUGACUUCUAAACUUUUUUGAGUGAUUCACAUUCCAAAAAUCCGUUCUACGCGCCAUCACUCUCCCUGGACAUUUCAGUUGUCCAAAUUUACGUCAAGUUGCGUAUUGUGCUUCCGUGAUCCAUUCCAAGCCUUUUUGAGUUGUUUCCACUUGAUUUGAAGAUUUUAUAUCCUUAAUAUAUCAUAAUAAUACAUUCACCAAGAAUUAUAUAGAAUUAAACACAACAAUAUAAAGCUCAAAACAAUACAACAUCCAACACGACGAACUAGAACCACGAGCUAAGACUAGGUGUCAUUCACUUUGAUCUUUAGCUCAUUGUUUUGACUCUUGUUUUGAUCCAAUUGACACUUGAAUAUUAUAAUAAAGUUUUUUAACAUAUAAAUACACAAUAACAACCUCAAGAACUCAUUAAACACAUUAACACCAACAGAUAGACAAGACAAACAUCUAGCUCAAGCUAGUCAAACUAGUUUUCUCGGUUGAACUCUAAAUGAUCAAUUUGAAUCAAAAUUUGUUUGAAAACAUCAUUAAAUAUUGUAAACACAUACUUGGAUACUUAUAUGCUUAUUUAUAUCAUUAUAAACACAUUAAUCACAUGAAUUAUCCCUAAAACAAGGCUAAAAGGGCUAAAAUAACAAGGCUAGAAUUCAUAAAUACACCCAAAAUUACCACCUCACACUUAAAGCCUUGUUCGUCCUCGAACAAUUCUUAACUAUAAGCAUCAUGAGCUGAAGAGACUCCACUUUAUAUAAAAAUACAAUAGACAAACUAGUGUCAACAUUUUAACCAACUCAUAUGAUUUUAACACAAAUUUCACCCAAUCCUGCCAAAUUUCAUAACAAGACUUGACAAGUAGAUCAACAAUGAAUAUGUACAUCAAUGAAUAAGCACAAACUAAAGGCAUUCUCUUAAUUCAGAAGCAACAUUAAACUCUAAGGCAUAAAUAAGACAAUUUCCAAGAAUUCACUAAUAUAACUAUUUCAUGCACCCUAUCAAUUGAAAAAGUAAAGAAUAAAUCACUUACCUCUCAAUUAGUGAUGAAGAUGAAGAUGAAGUUCUUCCUUAUUUGAGAGAAAACCAAUAAUUGUAAGGGAUUUGGGUGAGGGAAUUGUAGGGUGGCAUGGUCUAGGGUUUAAAGUGAAAGGGAAUUUAAAGAAUAAUGUUGUAUUUAAAGGUGUCAAAAAUAGAAGGGGCCACUCCAAGCAAGGCGUCGCGGGCUCUAGAGCCCCAAUACAGGAAAAACGAUGCCCUGGCUGUAGUGCCGGUAUAGGUGAGGCGACGUGGGCUUAACUCCCUUGCUAAGUGGAAUGCCAAAAUUUUUGGCGUAUUUUUUUUAUCAUCUGACAAUAUUUCAUUCUCCCAAUCCUUUUUCACCCUUUAACAUUACAUAGGGAGUAUGUUACUUACCUGAAUGCUUACCCGACAUUAUUUUGCUUACCUCUCAUUUUCCUCCAUGCUUUCAUGUUUCUCAUUCCUGCAUACCAACUAAAAACAACAAAUGAAAGUAAGAAAAAGUGGGUUGCCUCCCACUCAGCGCCUUAGUUUUGGUUGUGGCACAACUUAUUUUUUUGUCAUUUUUAUAUAUAUAUUUUUUAUAAUAACUAAAACAGAAAGGAACUACUCUAUUACAUUAUAUUCGUGGGUUGCCUCCCAUGCAGUGCCUUAUUUUAUAUCGUGCCAUGACUCAGCUCAGCCUCACUCAUCCACAAAGGUGAUGGACACAUUGUGCUUAUCUUCAUGAUUCGUCUAAUAAUGCUUCACACAUUGUCCAUUCACUAAAAAUUUUCAGUCUUUUCUUUAUUCCACAAUUCAACAACUCCAUGAGGCGUUAUUUGCACUACCUCAAAUGGUCCAGACCACUUUGAUCACAGAUUACCCAGAAACAACUUUAACCUUGAGUUAAACAACAAAACAAGUUGUUAGGAUUCAAACACCCUGUCCUGAAUUCACUCGUCAUGCCACUUUUUAGUCUUAUCUUCAUACAGUUCAGAAUUCUCAUAAGCGUGGAGAGCUAUAAAAAUCUCUUUUCUCCUGCAGCCUUCAUGUCAAGGUUCAACUUUUUAACUGCCUAAUAUGCUUGAUGUUCCAACUCCACAGGCAAAUGACAAGCUUUACCGCAGACCAAUCGAUAUGGGGAGGUCCCUUUGGGAAUCUUAUAAGCUGUCCUGUAUGCCCACAAUACAUCAUCUAGAUUUUUGUCCCAAUCCUUCCAUUACCUAUUAACCAUCUUCUACAUUAUUUGCUUUAUCUCCUGGUUGGAUACCUCAACUUGACCACUUGUUUGUGGAUGGUAUGCAGUGGCCACCUUGUGCUUAACACUAUAUUUAGCUAAAAUAUUCUUAGACCAAGUGUUAAUGAAAUGCAUACCUCCAUUACUAAUUAUAGCUCUAGGAUUGCCAAACUGGGAGAAUAUGUGCUUCUUCACAAAUUUCAAUACCACUCUCGCGUCAUUAGUGGGACAAGCUACAGCUUCCACCCACUUGGAUACAUAAUCAACUGCCACUAAGAUAUACAAGUUGCCAUUAGAUGGUGGGAAUGGUCAAAUACAAUAUAUACCCAAAAAUUUAAACACUUUAACUUAAAGAAUAUUGUUCAGGCGCAUCUCAUGAUGCCUUGAAAUUGUACCCAACCUUUAACACAGAUCACAACUCUUCACAAAAGCCACUCUAUCUCUAAACAAUGUUGGCCAAAAUAAGCAAGAUUACAGCAUUUUUUUAGCUGUUCUUUUACCCCCAUGAAUGACACUUUUGUAGCACUUGUUUAAAUUUAGCUUUCAGAACACAUAUGUGUAUAAUUCCAUCAGGACCCUGCUUGAACAGAUAUGGCUCGUCCCAUAUGUAAGCAUGAGAAUCAUGUAACAAUUUUUUCCUCUAUUGAAUUAUAGAUUCAGGAGGGUAAAAGUCACUCACAAAUAAGUUCACGAUGUCUGCAUACCAAGGAACUUCACACACCUCUAUAGACAAUAAUUUUUCAUCCAAAAACUCUGUUUGAAUGUAGAGAAAGUUAUCAACAACAUAAUCAUGAGCCUCUAGCCUUGACAAAUGGUCUGCAACUUGAUUUUCUACUCCUUUUCGAUCAUAAACCUCUAGGUGAAAUUCUUGUAGUAGCAAAAUCCACCUAAUCAAUCAUGGCUUUGCAUCCUUUUUGUUGAAGAGAUACUUGAUGGCGGCACGAUCUGUGUGAAUAAUUACCUUGGUGCCCACCAAGUAUGAUCUAAACUUGUCGAAUGCAUAAACUAGUGCUAACAUCUCCUUCUUCAUAACUUUGUAUUUAUUUGGGAAUCAUUCAAAAUUUUAAUAGCAUAAUAAAUAGAGUAAAAUACCUUGUCUUUUCUCUGCCCCAAAACUGCUCCCACAGCUACAUCACUGGCAUCACACAUUAGCUCAAACGGUAACUCCUAAUCUAGAGAAAUCAAGAUAGGUAUUUCGGUCAGCUUCUCAAAAAAUUCUUGACAAUCUGCUCCAAAAUCAAACUUGGCAUCUUUUUCUAGUAAUUUACACAUCAGGAUUGCAAUCUUCAAAUAGUCCUGAAUAAAACACCUGUAGAAACCCGCAUGCCCCAAGAAACUUCGCACUUUCUUGACUGUUAUCGGAUGUGGCAGCAUUUUAAUCACUUCAAUUUUGGCUCUAUCUACUUCCGGUCCUCUACAUUACACUUUACGGACAAAAGCUAUUCCUUCCUUAACCAAAAUGUGGAACUUUUCCCAAUUCAGCACUAGAUUUGUCUCUUCACAAUAAGCUAGGACUCGAUCUAGAUUUUGCAAGCAUACAUCAAAAUAAUUAUCAUAAACAAAGAAGUCAUCCAUGAAUACCUCAACAAAUUCUUCAACCAUGUCAUAGAAAAUUUCCAUCAUGCAUCUCUGAAAUAUUGCAGGUGCAUUGGAAAAGCCAAAAGGCAUGCAUCUAAAUGCAUAUGUGUCAUAUGGAGAAGUUAUAGUUGUCUUUUCUUGGUCCUCGGGUGCAAUGGUGAUCUAAUUAUAACCCAAGUAACCAUUUAGAAAAUAUUAGUACUCCUACCAUGCCAGCCUAUCCAACAUAUGAUCAAUGAAAGAGAUAGGAUAGUGGUCUUUUCUUAUGGCUUGAUUUAGCAUCUGAUAGUCAAUACAGAUUCUUUAUCCAGUCACCAUGCAAGUGGGAAUUAGCUCAUUUGCUUCAUUAGUAACCACGGUCAUCCAACCUUUCUUUAGGAUGUAAUGUAUUGGGCUUACCCACUUGCUGUUUGAAAUUGGAUAAAUAAUCUCAUUAUCGAGCCACUUAAUGACCUCUUCACCACGUCCUUCAUUGUUGGAUUCAAUCUAUGUUAUUGUUGUUCCCUUGGUAUGAAACCUUUUUCCAUGUAUAUAUUGUACAUAUAAAAAUCCGAAUUUAUCCUGGUAAUAUCAGACAUCUACCACCCAAUCAUGUUCUUCCUUUUUUCAAAACUGUCAUAGCUUCCCUUACCUGCACAUCAAAAAAUCUACGAAUAAAAUAAUAGGCAAGGUAUUAUUGUCACCAACGUAAACAUAUUUCAAGUGAAAAAGAAGAAUCUUAAGCUCCAAUUUGGGAGCUUCAUCAAUUGAAGCUUUGGACAAUGGACCAAUUAGCCUGUUCAAUGGCUCAAAAAAUAGCUUUCUUAUUUCCACAGCUGCCAAAUUCAUGACUUGGACCAAUUCUAGCGCCUCUACGUCUCCAUAAAGAUCAUAACCCAUCAAAGCUCGCUCUAGUGGAUCAUCAGACAACAACAAAUGUAACUCAGAUACAAGAUCAAUGACUGAUAUGGAAGAUAAUUCUUCAUAUAUAGCCGGUAAUUUCAGUGCUUCGUGUAGAUCAAAAACCUCUACCUUAUCAUGUGCUCUCAUUGUAAUUUUCACUAUUGAUACAUCAAUUAGUGACUACCUGGAUCCUUCAUUUUUAUGGGUAGAUUAUUUUGUAUCUUGGAUGUGCACUCUUCAGUAAGUGCACCUAUAGCAUACUCUAUCAACCAGUUCUUGUUUGCCACUAUAUACUUCAGGUAUUUUUCAUAUUUUAGAACACUCUGUAGAAUAUCAACAAGAGAAAGAUUUACUUGAACCUACUUUAGAAGAUCCAAAAAUUUCUUGUAACUGGCAUUCUCUUGAUACUUUCUUUGUCUUUAAGGGAAUGGUAGAGGUAGAGUCUUAUUUUCCACAAGAGUUUUAUCACUUGCAUUUUUUUCUUUAACCCUUUUCUCCUCUUUAUCUUUAGAAGCAUCAUCAGUGAUUGAAGGACUAACAUAUUCAGGUGCCAUCUUCUUUAACUUCAAACCACUCAUUAUUGUAACGGCAUUUACAUGGUUUGGAUUUGCCUCUGUAUCUCUAGGUAAGCCUCCUUGAGAUCUUGUGUUUUAUGGUCCCACAAUCUUACUGAGUUGCAACUCCAAAUUCUUAGUGAUCAACUAUUGACUCUUUAAAUUUGUUGAAAACUAUGCUUGAUUCGCCAACAACUACUUUAUCAUCUCCUCCAUAUUACUUGAUUGAGAAGUAGUCUGAUUAAUCUAAAAUAGCUGUUGAUUCUGCUGCACUGGUACCUUGUACUGAUUAUUGUUUUAUGCCUGAUUUCCUCCCUAUGAGAAAUUGGGAUAAUUUCUCUAGUUGGGAUUAUAUGUGUUACCAAAGUUCUGUUGUCCUGGACGGUUUGCAUUCCCUACAUAAUUCACAAAAGCUGGAUUAACCGCACAAGCAUUUACUGUAUGUUCGCUACUUUCAUAAACCUCACACCAAGAAUUUAUAUGUUGGACUGCAUUAGCUGUAGUUAUUGCUUGCAGAACCCUCAACUUUAUGUUGUUCAACUGAGUAAGCAUCUGAUUUUGCAUUGUUGUAAGUUGAUCCGAUAGAGCAGUAAACUGAUCUACCUCUAACACACCCGCAACCUUCUUAGGAGCACUCCUUGAGUUAGAAUGCCAUUCAGGGUUCCCUUGUAAAAUUUGAUUCAGCAAUGUGUACAAUUUAUCAUAAGUCUUCUCAAGAGCUUGCCCACCUGAUGCUGAAUCCAAGAGAAUUUUGGUAUUUUUCUCUAACCCCUUAAUGAAAGUAUGAACAAGAACAUAUUAGACUGAUGAUGGUGAGGGCAAUUUCUGAGCAUACUUUUAAAUCUCUCCCAAUGUUGGUAGAUAUUCUCUCCUUCUUUCUGUCAAAAAUUCAAAAUCUCACUUCUUAACAUACAGUCUUCCCAGAUGGAAAGAAUCGAAUAAGGAACUUCCAAGCUAGAUCUUCCCAAGAAGUGAUGGAGAGUAGUGGUUUAGUAUGUAACCACCUCUUCACUUCCCUAAUUAAAUUAAAGGGGAAAAGUGUCAAUCUAACAUUAUCAAUACUUACCCCUGCAGGUAUGUAAGUAUCACGUAUUUCCAGGAAUAUUUGUAUAUGCUGCUGUGGGUCUUCAUGUGAAAGUCUAGAAAAUUGACCAACCAAAUUCAGCAACUGCACCAUACUAUGCUUUAAUUCAAAUCAACCAUCUGGCUCGUGCUUGCGAAUACUGUUAGUAGCAUGGUUCGUGAGUGGGAUUUCCACCUUACUAAUAGGUCUAACAGUUGAUUGAGCAGGAAUAGCUGGGAUAACUGGAGAUGGGAAAUGUUUGGCAUUUAGACCAAUAGGAUCAUUAAAUCAACUCUUUCAGCCAUUUGAACCUGUUGAAUGGGAUAUUGAGCUUUUCUCCUUUGUUAAAAUAUAAGUUCUAGUUCUAUAAAAGGCUCUACUAACUCUUUAUCUCUCACCAGUCCUAUAUUCAGCUAAACCUGCAAAAUUUUAGCCGCUAAGAUCAAGUCAUUUACACUUAAACUUCUUAUCAAAAACAAAAAAUUUAGCAAAGUACUAAUUAUACUAGUCCUCGACAACGGAGCCAAAAACUUGUAGUGCCUUAAAAGUACACGCAAGUGCACUAAUUAUACUAUUCCCCAAUAAUGGCACCAAAAACUUAUAGAAGGUCAAAUGUAAACACAAGUGAACGUGAUAGUACAAGUAAUAUAGUGACUUAGACAAUCAGAUAUCAUUCCCACGAGUACUAAGCAACUAAAAAUUCAACUAACUUUUAGUUUUAGACUAAGUGGUAUUAAGUGUUGUAAAGUAUCAAGAUGAUUGUGAAAUUAAGAAUAAAAAUGUAAAUUAAUAAAUAAGAAAUAACAAUUUGUCACAAUAGCAAAGCAAAAAAUGGUUGUAAAUAGUAAUGAUGAGAAUUCCAAGGUUGAGGCACUCUAACAAUCUUACAAAUCUCUAUUCUUAUCACACUCUAAGUGGUUAUCGGGUUGUUGAUUCGCAAGGUUUAUAAUAUGAUCUUGGUCUCCCAACCUCAAAUCUUCUAUCUAUUAAAUAUUGCAACUACAGCUCCAGCAAAGAUGAAACAAUUCAUCUAGAUUCAUAAAGUUAUCUUCUUGUAAUUGAACCAAGCAAGGCUUCUAGGUAUAUCCCUAUCCUAGAAGCUAAUUCAAACCUCUUAUUUCAGAAAAAAAAAAGAUAAGAAUUUUGAUCCUUAAUUUCUUCAUUCUAUCCUACGAUUCUCCUCCUAGAUUCAUAUAGAAAUAUAUAUUUAUUCUAAUGGUGGCCACUCAUUAAAAUAGUAAGCUCAAGAAAUUAACAACAACCCAUAUAAUAAUCCAAAAAAAAUUACAAUAAAGAAUAUCAAAGAGUAAUCAUGUUCUUCGCCUCAACCCCAGAACAAGGGUGUUUAGCCACUUAUGUCUGAAUUCAAUAUCCAAAAUAAGCAAUUAAUCAUACGCAAAAUUAAUCUUGAAGUGAAAGAGUUCAAAAAAAAGUCUAAGAACCCUAAAAGAGAGAUUUUUAUACUUUUCCACCGUUGUUAUGCUUGAAAAAAUUGAUAGAGAUUGUGUUCACGUGUUCCUUUUAUACUGGGACAAAAUUAGCCUGAGCGGAGUGGAGCCCGUUUCACAUUAUCUGUAGCCCGGCUCCAAAUGAGGCGCCACUAUAUAUUUAGCAUUGUUCCAAUUGAGGCACCGUAGGCUUUUCACCUUGAUCCACUAUAAUUCACCUUAAGAAAUUUAUCUAUGUCCUUGGAGCCCUACUCCAGGCGACGCGCCGCCUUAUCUUCAGAGCCUCUCUAACUAAUGUGUCGCAGGCUUGUCACCCUGGUCUACUGGAAUUUACCUGGAUAAAUUUUUCUAAGUCCUUGGAUCACGCGUCGCAGGCAUAUCACCUUGCACCACUGGAAAUUCAUUUUUCACUAUUUUUCAAAGGCACAACACUUGUUCUUUUUAGCUCCUUGAUCUGAUACGUGAUCCAACCUUUCUCCCUUUUUUUACAACUCCUUCCAAUGUCCUCGAUACUCUGUAUAAUAAACUCAUAAUAUCAAUCACCACUUGCUUCAUAAUAUGCAUCUAAUUUUUUUCCAAAUCAAUUAAAAAUCCAUCCUACAUCGCUAAUCAUGUUGGUUAGAUAUGGAACACAAUUAAGGCUUAAAUACAAUAAGAAUAUCAUAUUCUGGCUCUUAAAACAAGUCCAAAUAUGGGUGAAUAUUGGUGAUUGGACAUAUAAAUAUGCCCAAGAUCAGGGGUGUUGAUGAGUGGUGAUUUUACCAUCAUAUACAUACAAGAUUCAUACAUUUUUCCUUGAUUUAACUGAUUUAGUGAGGCCUAAGUAUGAGUAAGUGCACUAUUAUCCACUCCUUGCAGGUAUAGAUAUGAAAAGAUGGAAAGAAAUGGAUUAAAUCUUGAAAUGAUAAAAAAGAAGCAGAAGAAGUGCAAUUGCAUACUUACAGCCAAAAGGACCUUGGGUAUCGCACUUGCGAAUAGAUCACCAUGAUCUCUUUCAGCCAAGUAGAGAAUCUAUUUAGCCUCUGGUAAUGCGAUCACGAUCUGAUGUACACGAUUGCAAAUCAAGCAAGUUAGCCAGCAUCACGCGAUCGCUUGAUCAUAACUGCGAUCGCGGUUGUGCGAUCGCAGUCAAGCCCAACAAUUGCGGCAUAGCAGGCUAAAUGAAAAAAAGUCUAUUUGCUAAAUUAUACAGCUAAGUCAAGAUUUAGAUAAAGAAUUAAAAACAGUCUUGUGAGGGGAAGAAAAACCCUAGAAUUUGAGAGGAGAGAAAAAGAUAGAAAACUUAAGAUAGUUUUUCUAUCAUUGUGAUUUUUGUUUCUAAGGAGAAAUUAGUGAAAUUUGAUUGUGGAAUUGAAUAUUAUUUCACCCUCUCUUAGUAUGAAUUCCAUGGAUGCAUUACUUGGUAACUUUAUUUUUCCUUAUUUAAUUAGUAGCUAAUUUCUUUAGUUUUGGGAUUAUGUUGAAUUAGAGUGUGAUUGUUUAUGGGUUUUGUUAGGUUUGCAUGGAUUUUAGUUGUUGAGUAUGGAUUUCACCAUUGCUUGAACUUAUGUAUUGGAAUUUGAUGGGUGAAAACUCCAAAUAUCCAAAUGGGUUUGAUGGGUGAAAGCCUAAUCUCUAAAAAAUCUUUUUCAUCCUCGAAGAAGGAAUUUGGAAAAAUAUUAAGUAACACAUAACAUCCUCAAAAGAGGGUUAUCGGGGGACAAAGCAAUGGUGAACAACUAAGCCUAUGGUUUACUACCCUUUGCAAUCUUAAACAUAAGUUCUUAGAGAGUGUGAAUCAUGUCAAGAGCAUCAUCCUAGAAAUAGGAAUGUUUGGUUAAGGUUUUGGGUGGCUAUAUAAACUCCACACUUGUUAGGAGCUCGAAAGAGCCAACCGGUGAAAUCAAUGGUGUUUUAUUAAAAGAUUUACCUCAAUGAUAUUCAACCUAGCCUAUCCGUCAAUUAACAACUAAAUUCCAUAAUAAACCAACAUUACGCUGCAUGUUUUACUUCUAAGGAUACUUAAUCCCAAGAUCUCUCAAAACUUAAAGUUUGAACCUAAGAUAGCAUUUGCCACCUUCUUGAUGAAUUUUAUGUGAAAAUUUUUUCAAGAAAAUCCCAUAUUUAUUUACACAUGUUGUUUUCAUUAGCAUUCCAGGUAACCUCAUAGUAACUUAAGCACCUAUAGGUUCAAAGUCUAUAGCAUUCACUCCUUAAGAUUCGACCUAAUUUACAUUGGGUUACUUGAUAACGACCGUCUCACCCUUUAAUUAUGGGAGUGAGUUGAGCAUUAUCACUGGUGGUCAUGGGGAUACUCAAUUAGGUAGUGGAUGUGGAUAGUGUUAUACCCGCCAAAUUAGAGGCAAAGGCUUCCAACAUUAUUAUCACAAGUAUUAUCCCCAUUUAUUUAAGAUCUACAUAUAUGUUUUUUAUUUUGGAUCGACUUUCUUGUGUGUUUGCAUAACUUGAUUUGGGUUUUGGUUUUACUAGUAAGCCUCUUGCCAUGCAUAUUCGUGUAUCUACCCCCAUAGGAGACUCAUUAGUGAUGGAUCGAGUGCACCAAUCUUGUGUUAUGACUUUUGUGGGCCGAAAGAUUUAGAUAGAUCUGAUUAUCCUAAUAUGGUAGAUUUGGAUGUCAUCUUGUGUAUGGAUUAUUUAGAUUCCUAUCAUGUUGUUUUAGACUGCUAUGCUAAGAUCAAUACUUUAGGGUCAUCAGGUGUGUCAAGGAUGGCUUGGAAAGGUACACUUCAUUCGAGACAAAAAAAAGUUAUAUCCUUUCUUUGGGUUCGUCGCUUGGUAGAGAUGAGGUAUUUGUCAUAUUUGGUGCAUAUUUGUGAUGUUAGUGUUACUUUACCAUCUUUCUUAGAUUCUAUUUGUAUGUCCGUGAGUUCAUGCAUGUUUUUCUCAUAGAUUUUCCUAGUAUGCCUCCGAAUCGAGAUAUUGACUUUGGUAUUAAUGUUAAGUAAGCCACCAAACCCAUUUCUAUUCCUCCCAAAAGGAUGGCCCUAAUGUAGUUAGAGGAUAAGUUGUAGGAAUUGUUGUAUAAGGUAUUAAUCUGGCUUAGUGUACCACUUUGGGGUACACCUGUCUUGUUUGUGAAGGGAAAGGAUGGGUCCAUUUAUAUGUGUAUUGAUUAUCGACAGUUAAACAAGAUGAUGAUUAAGAAAAAGUAUCCUCUUCCUUACAUAAAUGAUCCAUUGGAUCAGCUCUAGGGGUACUUUAGCAUUUUCAAAGAUGGAUUUGAGGUUUGGUAUCACCAGUUAAGGAUUAGAGUUUUUGAUAUUUGAAACACAACUUUUCAAACUCGAUAUGGUCACAAUGAGUUUUUGGUCAUGUCUUUUGGGUUGACCAAUGCCCCUGCCAUAUUCAUGGAGUUGAUGAACCAAGUGUUUCAAGAAAACCUUAUAUACCAAAUCUCAAACAUAUAUAUACUAAACAUAAAAUAUAAUUUUUAUAAUUUUUAAUUUGAGGAAAAAUGGUGAAAAGAUAAUUUUGUCUGUUAUAGAGAUUUUUAAUAAAAGGAAAAAUGUAUGAAUCAUUUUUCUAGGGAUCUUCAUACUUUUAAUAUAUUAUAGAUUAUAGACAUUGAUAGAAACAGAGAUGUGGAUAUAGAUAUGAUUAUAGAUGUCAGCACCCAAAAACUUAGGUCACGAUUGCACUUAUUACGGCUAAUCCAUAAUAAGGCCAAUCACAACCAACAUGUUAAUGAAAAUUACUAUAUAAAUCCCAAGGCAAUACUUAUAGUCAAAUUCAAACCAUAUAUGCAUAAGGAUAGUGGAAUCGUUAAUGGUGGAUCAGGUGCACCGUUCUUAUGUUGUGACUUUUGUGGACCGUGAGCUUGGAUGGAUCUAAUUAUCCUAGAUAUGGUAUAUUUUAAUGUCAUCUUAGGUAUGGUUUGUUUAGCUCUCGAUUAUGUUGUUCUAGAUUGCUAUGCCAAGACUGUGACUUUCGCUUCGUUGGGUGUGACAAGGAUAGCUUGAAAGGGUAUGCUUUAUUUGGGCCCCAAGGAUAGAACUGAAAGGUAUUUAGAUCGUAUAUCGACUCUUUUUUCAUUGUAUUUAUAGAUGAUAACUUGGUUUACUCCAAGAGUGAGGCUGACUGUGAGGAGUAUUUAUGGAAUUUGCUUUAGAGAUUGAGAAAUGAAAAGUUGUAUGCUAAGUUCUCCAAGUGCGAGUUUUGGUUGGAGUCUAUCUCUUUCUUGGGUCAUAUUAUGACCAAGGAUAGUAUCAUGAUCGAUACGGCCAAGAUUAAAGUAGUUCAUAAUUGGGAUGAACCUAUUUCUCCUACCAAAAUUUAAUUUUUAUUGGUUUGGCAGGCUACUAUCGAUGCUUUGUUAAGGAUUUUUCAUCUAUUGUGGUUCCAUUGACCAAGUUGACUGAAGAUUUCUUUUUAGUGGUCCGAUGCUUGUGAAGGCGAGAUUUCCAAAUCUCAAGGAUUUGUUGACCUCAGCUCCUAUCUUGACUUUGCCUAAGGAGGGUGCGGGCGUUACCAUCUUCUAUAAUACUUCUAGUUAGGUGCAGUAUUGAUGAAGGAGGGUAAGGUGACUGCACAUGCUUCCCGCCAAUAGAAGCCCUUUGAGAAGAAUUAUCCUACCCAUGAUUUGGAGUUAUGCGCAGUUGUAUUUGCUUUAAAGUUGUGGAGGAACUAUUUGUAUGGAGUCCAUUGUGACAUCUUCUUAGAUCACCAUAGACUUCAAUAUUUAUUCACCCAACAAGAUCUUAAUAUGAGACAACACGGUUGGCAUGUGUUGCUUAAGGAUAUUGACCAUACUAUUCUCCAUCAUCAAGGAAAGGCUAAUAUGAUCGCAAAUGCCUUGAGCUGAAAGUGGACUAGUACGGGUAGCUUGGCAUAUUUAUUGACCCAGGAGAGGCCCUUGGCCUUAUAGGUUCAUCCUUUGGCUAACCAAAUGGUUAGUCUUGAUAUUUCGACACCUGGGUAUGUUUUGGUAUUUGUGGAAGCUAGGUCUUCUUUUUUGGAGCAAAUUUAGGCUCAUCAGUUUGAUGAUGUUGGGUUGAGAAUAAUUUAGGAUAAGGUGUUGAGUGGUUAGAGAAAUGAAGCCUCACUCUACCUUGAUGGUGUUUUAAGGAUUGGGGGCCAAGUUUGUGUGUCGAGAGUGGGUGAUUGGAUGAGGCUGAUAUUAGAAGAGGCCAUUAUUCUAGGUACUCCAUUCAUCCAAGAGUGACCAAGAUGUAUGGAUAUUUGAGACAACAUUCUGGUAGGGUGGUAUGAGGAAGGAUGUAGCAGAUUUGUAACUUGUUGCCUAUGUUACUAGAUAAUUAAGGCUGGGAAUUUGGGUCCUAGUGGUUUUUUUCAGUGGUGACCCAUUCUCGAGUGGAAAUAUGAAUCGAUAACUAUGGACUGCGUGAUUAAGUUACCUCAUACUUCUAAUAGUUCUGACAGUGUUUGGGUCAUCAUGGAUCGAUUGACCAAAUCUGCUCAUUUAAUUCUUAUUUAGGAUUCCUUCAGUGCUGAGAGGUUGACUCGUAUGUGUCGUGUCCCAUUUUCAUCAUGGAAGGCGGGAUUCGACUUGAUAAACUCUUUUUGGGAUUGUUUUAAGGUGAGUGUGUGAAGAGUCGCCAUCUAACAAAUUAAGGGUGCAUUAGGGCACUGGUCUAGGCUAACUACGAACCUAUUUUGUUAUUUUAUCUUAGUUCACCAGAGUUCGGGUAAGGAUUCAAAUUACCUCAAAAGGAAGGUGUUAGGCACCUUUUGAGGCCCACAAAGGUUGUUCCCGACCGAAUUCGUACUUUACGUGGGGAUUCUAUGUGAUCAAAUAAAGUCUCUUAUUUUUAUAUUUAAUUUAAUGUUUGGCUACAUGAUAAAGUAAUUAACAAACAUUUAAUUUAAUUGUUUUAGCUAUUAAUCAUCUAAGUGAUAAAGUCAAUAAAAAUAUGUAAAUAAAAUAAGCGAGGAGAAAGAAGUGACAAAAUAAAAAUAAUGGGAACUGCUUAUGUAAUAAACUAACUAUCCCUAAUAAACAUGUAAAGUAAAAAAAUUGUCCAAGUCAAACAAAGAGAUGUUUUGGUUUUAUUCGAAUCAGAAACCCAACUUGUUAAUCAUCAUCCGACCCAAGGGCCGAACUCUUAGACAAGUAAUAAUGUGAUUAGCCUUGCCGUUAAUAUUUUGUUGGGAUCAUCAUUUUCGAAUGACUACCUGUCCCACCCCACCUAGGUUGGAUGUUAAGUUUAAGGGCGUUCUAUGACAAGGAUAAAACUAACGUUUUUAGUAAUACUUAACGAUACACCUAUCAUCCAAAAGGCAUUGGACUUUACUAUUUUUGGAUCUGUGUUCUAGACGAAAAGAAAACUAUGUUGCCUAGGACUCGAAGUGCGUAACACGUUGGACCGCAAGUAGCACAUAAUUGUCCUAAGUUAGCUUCUUGGUUAAUUAACGCUAAUUAACAUGAUAGCAUGCGAAGACAAAUAAUUAUUUGUUACGUCAUUAACCUAUAGGCAUGGUGUCUAAAUGAUCAAUGAUUCAUGAUAAAAGACUGUGAUUUGCGUAUGCAACAACCUUAUGUGUGUUCAUGGGAGGUGUCAAAAGUGUGGUAAAUGUGUCAAGAAAAUGUGCUUGUAAAUUAAGUGUUAUAAACUAUAAUGAGAAUACAAGAAACUAGUAAAAUAUUAAAGGAUGUGUUAACAUGUCAAGGAUGCACUUAAAUGCGGAGAACAAAUUAACAUGUAGAAAAUGUAGAGAAUUACUAGUAUUUUAGCAUGCAGGAAGUCAGCUAAACAUGCUGAAAAAUUAAUUAAACAUGCUGAAAAAUUAAUUAAACUUGCUGAAAAAAUUAAUUAAACAUGCUGAAAAAGUUAAUUAAACAUGCUGAAAAAUUAAUUAAUCAUGCUGAAAGUUACUUAAUCAUGCUUGAAAGUUACUUAAUCAUGCUGGAAAGUUACUUAAACAUGCUGAAAAGUUAUUUAAACAUGCUGAAAAAAUUAAUUAAACAUGCUGAGAAUAACGUUAAGGUGCAGUAUUUUCAUGUUGAUAUGCUGAAAACAUGCCAAGAAUGCCUAAAAUCUAAUAUUUUAACAUGUUAUAAAUGUAAGAAACUAGGAUUUUAAACAUGCUGGAAUUCAGUCUAAGUGCUAAAAAUUAUUUAGAUGCGUAGAAAAAACAUUUAAAUAUGCUGAAAAUUAAUCUAAAAUUGCUAAACUAGAUGUUAGAUAUGCUGAAACUUUGAUGUUAACAUGCUCAAAUUGUUUUAAUAUGUCUAAAACUGUGUCGACACGCCUAAACAUGUAAAGACAUACUAAAUAAGUUGUGCUUAAUAUGCAAAAAUUAAUAUAAUAAGCUAACGUAUCAAAAAUAUUAUCAUGCCUUAAUUCAAUGUGGAUAUGUUAAAAAAGUGUUAGCAUGCUUAGGUUCAAAUCAAUAUGCUUAACAUGCAGAAAUACGUCAACAUGCCUAUUGUCAAAUUAAUAAGCUUAAUAUCAAUUAAUAUGACACGUCAAUUUUAGAUAGAUAAGAGUAAUAAAUAAACCGUAGCAAGAUUCAUAUUAAUAGACCCUAAUUUUGUGCCUAGAUGAUUCAAAUAACACGUCUUGCAUGUAAUCCUAGGUUGUUCCUACCUGUACCGUUCACAAAGCACAUAAUCUCCGUCCCCCAAAGCAGUCCCCAAAAAAUUAUAUUAUUACCUCGAUAAUAAUAUCUUUACACAAUAUUACAAAUCUAAUAAUAAGAAAGUACACUAAAGCUAAUACAAUCUAAUUAUAUAACUAAUUUGAUGACUCUUCGAAACCCGUAGUUGUCUACUUAAAUCUGCAAAAUAAGAUGUAAUGGCAAGCAAAGCAAGAAUAUAUAAUGAACAUUAAAUUUCCUAUAGACAUUUUUUCUAAAGGUUGUCACGGCAUGAUCCAGUCAACAAACAAAGAAAAAAAACUGCGUCAAUUCGUGAACUUACCAGUGAUUAGCAGUAAGAAAGAUAAAUAAUAAUAGAAGCCAAAAGCCAAGUAUACGUAAUAUCUCAAUAUGCAAGAUAUGAACAGCAGCCUCUAAAGAGAAACAAAAAGCACUUAAAAAUAUUUAAUUGCCUUUGCAACAAGUAGCCAAUGAUUUUUGUUAAGAGUAGUAGUAGUAAUUGUAAUGGUAAGACUUGAGAAAUUUUCACUGUCCCCUUUUGUGAAUGAAGGAAGGGGUUUAUAUAGUGUCAACGAAAUCAGUCUGCCGAGACAAAACAGGAAAAGAAAUAUUCCACCCCUUUAAUUACUGAAGUGAUAUUAUGUAAAAUCAGUCGGGGGUAAAAAUAAGAAAGAGGAGAAAUCAAUCACCCAUAAUUUCCUUAGAAAAAGGCUUGCUCAAUCAAUUAUUUCAUGUUUGUUAUAAAUAUGUGGUUAAGAAAAGAUGCUAAUUUGAAAGAGGAAAAAUAAUAAAAGAAACACUUAUCAUUUACCAUAUAUACUCAAAUUAAUUAAAAGUCAUCCGCUAAUUCUGCUAAAAACCCAGAAUCUAUUGACAAUUAGGAACAAACACAAUCAAUAUUUUGCCAUAAACACUGAUUCAAAUAUAAUCCAUGUAUAGCACCUUUCAAUAACAAGCAGCAGUCAGCAAACACAAUGAGUGUCAAAAUUGAGAAUUUUUGCACAUAAUAGUCCAACGAUAAACACGUAGCUAGAUGAAUUAACUCACACUGAAAGUUAGAUAUCAUAAACCUUAGGCAAUUCGGUAAUGAAAAAAAUAUACAAAUCAAAUCGACAAUAAACAUGCCAUUAAAGAAAUAAACUGUAUAAUAGUCCGAUCUCGAAGGUGCUGUUUUUAUUGGUGGUAGCACCGAAGAUGAAGGGGGGUGCGAAUUUGGAGCGACGCAGGAGAGAGGCAGAUAAAGGGGGUCGAAUCGUGGCUGAUGAAGGUGGCAGAUCUGGGUUCGACACUGGAAUAGUGGCUCUAAUCAGCGAUGGAAGGCUGGUAGCGAAGGCGGGGUUGGAGCGGCGCCAGUGUGCUGAUUGGUUUAUCGCCGGUGAUGGCGACGAUGGAAUAGCGGGGAGAGAGCUGGUGGCAUUAUUUACCAGUAGAGGAUGAGAGGAGAGGGGCGGCGGCUUGUUGGCGGUGUUGUUCACCGGUGGAGGACGAGAGAAGAAGGGCGGCGGCUUGUUGGUGCUGUUGUUAAUUUUAUCAUAGGGUUUGAAAGGAGGGAGAUAGAGAGAGAGAGGAUAGGGAGGAUUCUUUGGAUGAAAUGGGGAGAUUAGGGUUAGGUUUUGGAUUAAGAAGGAAGGAAAGGGUGUAUCUGAUUUCAGCCAUUGGAUCGAUCUUGAUCUAUGGCUGAGAUUAAAAAGAUAAGAAUAUGAAUUGGGAUUUUUAAAAUUGGGUUAAAU
RNAcentral lists this long non-coding RNA (50410 nucleotides) under Capsicum annuum. RNAcentral describes it as "long non-coding RNA (CANN_LNC002498)". The stretch from base 39417 to 39523 matches the Rfam family "Plant small nucleolar RNA R71". Lineage: Eukaryota; Viridiplantae; Streptophyta; Magnoliopsida; Solanales; Solanaceae. The record is from RNAcentral.